UCUGCUCUCCUUGAGCACCCACUUCCUGCGGGGUGCAGGCGGAGGAGGGCGCGGGGUCCGAGUGGGGGAGUCGACCAUCAGCCCCCACUCGUUGCAGGGUGGGUAGGCGGCGAUGAUGCCGUGCAGCUUCGGGACGCCAGCAUGGAGGGAGAAAACCCACGACAGCAGCUCCGUCACAGGGGCGUCCUCGCCAGUGAUCCCCUUCACCUACGCCUGGAUGGGCCCCGGAUCCACGCUCCCUUGGUGAAGGCGUGUCCUGUCCCCGGACCCCGUGUACAUCCACGCGGGGCGGGAGCGAAGCUGCAGCGGCACGAUGUGCCGGCUGAUGUAGGCACGCGCCACGUCGAGAUCAGUGAGCCCUGCUAGCCUUAGGGCCUUGAUCUUCGCGACGAUGGGGAGGAGCUCGGCGUCGCGGUGGUAGCGGUUCCGCCAGCUCGAUGGGCCUGAAGAUGAACUCUUCGGGUUCCUCCACACGGACCCAGCACCAGUCCACCCGACAUUCCUUCUCUAUCUUCUUCUCCGACCGGACGAUGAAUUCUGAUUUCAUCCGGUCGCGAGCGUGGAACACCACCCCCGAUGACAUCGCCCCCGCUUGCUCAAUGCGGGGGUAGAAGUAGUGCCAGAAUAACGCCACUGACGGCACUACUCCGACGAACGCCUCACAGAGGAACUUGAAGACGGCGAGGAGAAAGAGGGAAGUGGGGUGGAGCUGCACCACCCGAAGCUGGUACGCCUCCAUGAGCACGUGGAGGAACAGGGAGUACGAGGCUACCAGCCAGGCAAGGAUGAAGUGCGCGAACACCCGGAAGUCGUUUUCCUGGUGGUCGGCGUCGGCGGGGAAAAUGAGGGUUUCCCCGUACUCGUUGAAGCGCGAAGCGACGGCGUGCCGGACCUUAUCCAGCGCCUCGCCGUUGUAGCCAGGCCGGAAGAAGGCGCACGAGGCCCUCAGCUCCCUCCUCUUCUGAUCCUUGUCCGAGGUGGGCUUCUGGGCAGCCGCCUCGCUCUUGCCAGCUGCAGGCCUCUUGGAGCCUUUUCCUUUCGUGGGAGCGGGGGGUGCCAUGAGGAGUGUGGGCUAAAGCUGGCCGGAGGCAGGGAUGCGAGGAAGAUUGGAGACGGAGGGGAAAAGCUUGUCCCCUAGAGCAGCGGCGGAGUCUUAUAGCGGACCGGUGCCGGGCAACGGUCGUAUCCGCACCCUAUGGGUGCGCUGGGUUAACUACGCCCCAAGAGGGGAUAAUGCAGGACAUGGCCUUAACCACCCGCGUUUAAUGGGGAGGUUAGGGCGGAAAUCUCGCGCCCAUUACUCUGCGCAUAAUAGCAGGGCCCUGAAGCAGCUCGGGGCCCAAGCGUCGGUUAAGGGCGUAGCCCGGCAACCGACCUGGGAAGAUCCUACCCGGGAACAGGCAUUGCCGGCCCACGCCCGGGGGCUACUGUCGCACCAGUGGCACCCGGGGCGCCACCGCUACGCGACGCGUGGGCCACCUCGCUUGGUCCCCGGAAGGAUCGCGCCCCGGGCAGCUCCACGCGAGAAGCCCGGCAAGUCGCCAGCCCGGCAGGGCUAGCCGGGUUGCGGGGGCUUGCCGUGCGGGGCAGUAGGAGGAAUCCCGCCUGGGCACUUCCCGGGAGGGUGUUCCUGGGCGCAAGCAACCGUUACAAAGGCAGGAGCGAGCGGGAGCCACAGCGGCACCACGUGGCGCCUCAACGGGCACACCGCGCGCAGGUUUUGUCAGGACGAGGAGUGAAGCACACGCAAGCAUUUAAUACUCCGACCAAAAGGGGAUUCCCUAUCUUUUCACCCAACAGUGCCCCGCCAGGGGUAAAUUUCAGGCGCCUAGACCCCUAGCUGCAGGGCUACCUAGUUUGCAUGCAAGCCAACGCACCGAGGGGGAGCUUCCCUAGCUCCCCACUCGCCAUUUGUCACCCAUGCACCGGGGCACCUGUGGCAUCCCGUUCAGUAUAAAAGGAGGCAACGGUCAAAGGGUUGGACCAGUUCUCAGUUCACUACUAGCAAUAGCCCGGGAACUCCCCCCGGCAACCUGUAAACCCCAGUUCUUUGGCUAAUAACAGAACUCAGAAGCAGGACGUAGGGUUUUACACCUCAGGGUGGCCCGAACCUGGGUAAAAAGUGUUCUCGUGUUCAUCGUGCUCGCACGCUUCGCAUUGGCCCCGCCGGUGAUCGCCGGGGCAAUCCCCGCAGCUCACUGCCGAACCUAAAAGCCCCGUGCUACGACAAUCCAUAUCUUGUAGAGAAUGCCAUCUUGGGUAUGUCUUGGGUUCGAAUCUUCAACUGAUGAUAGCCUGAUCGCAGAUCUAUCUUGGAAAACACACUAGCUCCUUCCAACUGAUCAAACAAGUCAUUGAUCAUGGGUAAAGGGUAUUUGUUUUUUAUGGUGACCUCAUUAAGAGAACGAUAGUCAACACACAUCCUCAUACUCUUGUCCUUCUUCUGUACAAACAGUACCGGUGCUCCCCAAGGUGAUGAGCUCGGUCUGAUGUACCCCUUUGCUUGCAAUUCUUGCAACUGUUUCUUAAGUUUUGCUAAUUCAUUUGCAGGCAUCCUAUAGGGUCUUUUGGAUAUUGGGGCAGUUCCUAGAACUAGAUCAAUUAAAAACUCAAUAUCCCUACAGGUGGCAUUCCUGGUAAAUCCUCUGGAAACACAUCCGUGUAUUCAUUAACGAUGGGAACUUCCUCGAGACUACUCCCCUUAAGUGCAUUAACCAUGGCUCUUCUUCGCUUGAUUUUGGAUGUAAAUCUGAUUCUCUUUCCUUCCGGGCUGGUCACAGUAGCUGCUAGGUUAGCACAAUCUAUGUGUCCUUUGUGUCUAGAUAGCCAGUCCAUUCCUAGGAUUACAUCUAAACCUUGGGACUCUAGUACGAUAAGGUCUGAGGGAAAAGUCUCACUGCCAAGCCUUAUCAACACUCCAUGACAAAAUUCUAAGUGCUUUAGUCCCCAUGCUUUUGCACCCAUGCUUUUGAAAUGAAAGAAUGCGAUGCUCCAGUAUCAAAUAAUAUAACUGCUAGGUUGGAGUUGAUAAGGAAUGUACCAACUACGACGUCCGGUGCUUCGUAAGCCUCUUCUGCAGAAACAUGGUUCAGCUUGGCCUUCACAAAGGGGUUAGGCCUCUUGUCUCCCUGGUUCUUGGUUCUUUGCUGCUUUUCUGGACACUGUGUUGAGUAGUGUCCCAAUUUUUGGCAAUGAUAGCAUUCCACUUGACUCAAGUCCUUCUUCUCUGAGGCUGAUCCACUGCGGUGCUGACAGUGUCCAUGCUGUUGCUGCUGACAUUACCUCCAUGGUUGCUCCCACGAUGCUGACUCCCAUGAUGGUGGUGCCGGCGAUGAUCCUUGUGCUGGUGGUGGCGUUUCUCCUCAUGGGAUCGUCCUGAUGAAGAACCAAAGUGACGGUGCCUUGGAGGUGAAUGGGUACGGUGCUUGCUGUGAAAUCCCAUACGAAACUUGUUACUUGCCUUCCUCUUGCGGUUCUCCACUUGCUUCUGCUUGCCUUCUAAGUGGAUUGCCUUGUCAACCAAAUUCUGAAAACUGUGGAAAUCAGAUGAAACUAACUGCACACUGAGCUCGUCAUUCAGACCAUCCAAGAAGAGCUCCUGUUUAUCUUCAUCAUCGGCUACGUCAUCAGGGGCAUAGCGAGCUAACUGAGUGAACCUCUCCAAGUCUUGGAUCCUUGACGCAAUGCACGGAACUGCUUCCUCAUCAAUCCCAUACUCCCUGCUGGGACGUGAGCUUUGCGGAAACCUUCAACAAAAUCAUCCCAAGUGAUCUCAUCUCCUCCAAAUCCGAACUUGAAGGUUUCCCACCAAGCUGCUGCGGCUCCUUCAAGCUGAUGGCUUGCAUAUAGAACUCUCUCCUGAUCAGUGCACUGGAUGGUGAGUAGCUUCUUUUGGAUGGUGCGAAGCCAAUCAUCUGCUUCAAUGGGUUCAGCUGAGCUAGAGAAAGUAGGUGGGUGCAGCCUCAAAAACCUAGUCAAACGGUCGGAGGGUGGUGGUGGAGGUGGCGGGUUGUUGCGGUUGUUCUGGUUCAGGUUCUGAGUGAGCAGGUUCACUAGCUGAGUCUGAGCUGGCAAAAAUUCAGCAAGUCCGGGUACUCCAUUGUUGUUGUUGCCAACGUUGGUGUUGGGGUUGGGGUUGGUGUUGCUAGUGUUGUUGUUGCCGGUCUUGCUCCUAGUGUUGCGGGUUGACAUCUUGCUGGAAAAGAUAAGAGUCGGGAAAGAAGGGUCUAUAAGAACAUAACUACCCAUAGAUGCUUAUAGCAUGAAGAAGUCAAAUAAAUUGACUAAAAUAAACUCGACUUUAUUAAGCUCAAUCAAACUCGAAUGAAUAGUUUCACAAAAAAUCCUAAGUCUGUGAAGCGAUCCUCCCCCUUAAAGGGUUCGAUCUCUGUGCUUAACGUGCUAGUCUCUGGAUUGACUCAUUAGCACACACAGUUCCAAGAUGUAAUAUCAAGAUACAAAGGCAAAAUACUUUAUUACAUCGUAUCAUCCAGAAUUUAAUUGUACUUACAGACUUGCAUGACCCCUUGGGCCAGCAUAAACAAAUAUUGUUUCAAAACCAUAAAACAUUGUAUCAUAAAACUGCAGUGGAAAGGUAGAGCAAAUGGGCCUCAACUACUCCCAGAGGAGAGAGCAUGCUGGAAUGUAAGCACAUGACCCAAGGUACACCGACGAACCUCACUCUUCGUCAGAUUCACCUGCAUUAUUAAUUGCAGCCACUACGUGGUCAAUACACAUUUGAAUGUAUUGGCAAGUUCACCUGGAAGUUAUACCAGACCUAACAAUGUACAUGCACUAUAUGGCAAGGUGGGGUUUGGCUAUUUGCAUAAAAACAUCAAUGUUUCAUCCUAUCAUUUUUAAACAAAUAGUUUUGAAUUCUAUUGGACACGGGUAGAAACACCCAUGCUCCUAUUAACCUAGGCACAUUGAGUAGAUACAUCACUGCUCCUACCCAGUUCAAUCCAUUCAUUUUAUUAAGAAAUUGGAAUGAGUGAGACCUUCCUUACAGCCCCAAUAUCUAGUUGCUCAUAAUUGUCCGUAACCGGGGACACGGCUAAGUACUUAGUUUGACACUCUCGAGAGGUUGUACACAUUCCCCACAAGAAAUCGACGUGUUAAUCCCUUGCUAUCCUGUGGGUAGAGUAGCAACGGCAUCGACUACAGGAAUUUUCAGAACAUAAUCCCCCAGACCACUUGAGGGACGCGCCCCCACCUACACUACUACAUACCGAUGUCACCUCGGAUCCAGGUUCAUAUUUCUUACGUCCAUCCUGGCAGAGCCAUAGUACCAUGUGGUUGUAUUGGAAGCUACUAAACAGGAAACUAGUCCAGUCUCUGGUUACCCCGGGUGGCAUUCCUCAGUUGCAACGCAGGCGCUCCCAUAGAAAUGGCGAGACGACUUAUAGAAAUGGACCCAUAGAAAUGGACUUGACGUUGCAUACAUCUCCAAUUCCUCAAAGCAGCCCACCCAGGACGGUUCAUUGAAUUACUUGUUUUGCCAUACACUAGGAAAACUAUUGUAAUUCAAUAAUAUCAUAUUGUAAUAAUACCACUCUCGUAUAUUAUCAUAGCAUAGCAUUUUACUACCAUGAUGGCAAUUGGAGGUGAGGACAUGGCAAGGGUAUCCUAUACUACGAGGAGAAGUUAUAGCUAGCAUAAAUACAAUAAUAAUCCUAACAAUGCAACGAAUAAAAUCUAGUGCAUAAUAAAAUAAUGGGAUGAUGAUCAAAGUGAACUUGCCUUGAUAGUAGUUGGUAUACAAACACUCUUCACAAUCCCACAGUUCGCUCUCCGAGAAAACUAAUCAAACACAAACAAUGCAUACAUAAACACACAAUAUAAACAAAAUAAGAUGUAUGCCAUGAUCCAAUGCAAAACAUGUGACAUGUUUGGGUUGAUUUUUUUUGGGUCAUCAACUGGUCCUAAGCAUCGGUAAUUAAAACACAUCCAUAGGGUUUUAAACAAAAAGUCAAAAACAAAAGAUUAAAACCCUAAAUUAUGGUUUUAUUGGCAUCAGCCAAUUAAUUUAAUUCAAAAUAUUUAUUUCUCUGUCCCAAUGCACAGAGGAUAAUAAAAAAAAAAAUUGGGUACUGAAUUCAAUUAAAAAGGAUUUCUAACUAAUUAGUUAUGAAUUAAAUGGUAAUAAACCCUAUUCUGUAAAUUGACUGUGAUUCAAAUAUUCAAAUUUAAAUUUAAACAGUGCCAAAAGAUUCUACAGGUUGAUAGCUUUCCCAAAAGGUAAAGUUUGUCAAAUUUGGCCAAAGGGUUUAAAAGUUACAAGCAUUUGAAGUUACAAGGGCUUUUCUGCAAAAAUGCCAUUUAUUCAAACCGGGGGCUUAAAAUUACAUUUUUAUUUGUCUAUUAAAGUACCACGUGGCGUGAUCUCAUUGGUGCGUACCGGUUCGACGAAAAUUAAACACGGGAUCUAAUCCUAGCCCUUGGAUCUGGAUCGGACAGACGGGAGCGGCUCGGGUUUACCCGGCGGCGGCGGCGCUUGUCGGAGACGGAGAAGACGGCGGCGCGGCACGGGAGGCGGCGGCACGGGGUGUUCCGGCGACACGGGCAGCUCAGGGAGGUGCGCGGGGGUUGCCGCAUGUCGAGGCGGACUCGGGGACGGGAUCGGCCCAGCUUGGGGACGUAGGACGCCACGCCUAGGAUGGGUCGAAUGCGACGGGGAGCGGCGGACGGCAGCGGAGCUCCGGGCGGCGAUGGUGACGGGCUGCGGUCCACGAAAACGAAGACAGCGCGCGUCAAAAGAAGCGUACGGAGAAGGAGGAAAAGGCAAAGCAAAGCGGGGCAGUUCUAACCUUGCGGUUCGUCGGAGAGGAGCGAAGAACGGCGGCGGGCGGCGAGCUACUCCGGCGUGCAAUUGGGCAGCACGGCCGUGUGGAUUCGAGCGAGCGAGAGGGGGAAAAGAACGGGGAGUCCACGGGCUUUAUAGGGACACGGGCUGCUCGCUUCGGGAAGGCCGGAAUCACCGGAGACGGCGAUGGCGGCGACAAGUCCGGCGUGGACUCGGCGGAGCUUCCCUUCGGGACGAAGCCUGACAGGUGGGCCCCACCUAUCAGCGGCGGCGGGCGUGCGCGCGUGCGGCUGGGCUGGUCUGGCUCGGUCGGUUCGGCCCAAAAUGGCCGGGCCAGUCCGGUUUUUCCCUUUUUUUUUCUUUUAGCCUUUUCUUUUUCCCUUUUUCUUAUUUCUUUGAUAUCUUUCGAUUUUGAACUCCAAAUUGAUCCAAAUAAAUUCCAGAAAAUUUGUAAAAUCAUGUUUUAUCAUGAUUCAACUUUCGGAAGUAAUUUCCCUUCAAAACAAAAUUUAUAAAAAUACAUUUUCCCUAUAAAUGCGUUUAGGGCUAUAUAACUAUUUAAAUAAAAUAGUUUUUCAAUUCCAAAUAAUUAUUCAAAAAUUAUGGGAUAGCUUAUUUAUGCAAUAAACCCCUUUUAUAAAUAAACCCUAUUGGUUUGAAGAUCUAAAGCUCAAAUGGGUGAAAACCCUAGGGUUUAAAUUGAAAUAAAGUCUUUUAAAAGCCUUUUGAGAUUCAAAUUUGAAUUCAAAUAUGCAAAUUUGGCAUGAUUCUCAUGGAUGCAAUGCACAUGUAAGAAUUUGAAAUUUUGGAUGUUACAGUCUGCCAACCACAAAGUUUGAUUGGUCAGUACUAUUUAAACCAAGGACUAAGGAAGAACUAAACGAAAAGGGUUCUAAUAAGAUAGCGUCUACUCGUCACGGUCGGUCUCAAUGUCGGACUCGAAGAUAACCUCCUCGGGGUCCUCCUCCUCCUCCGUCGGCUCGUCAUCGUCUUCGGAGUCGGCCAUCUCGUAGUCGAACUCCUCAACCCUGAUCUACAUCUCCUCCUUGUAGUCCUCGUCAUUGCUGAGGAAUGCCUCGUCCUCAGCCUGAACGUCCUCCCCGUCGUCACGGGCCUCCUCAAGUGCAUCCUCCAGCUCGACAAUUGUGGUCUGAAGUAGGUCCACACGGUUCUUCAGUUCCUGUAUCUUGGUCUUCUUGCGCUGAGCCUUCUGCACCACCUCGUCUAACUCCUCCUGCAGGAUGUAGGCUGUCUCCUGCAACUGUCACAGCUCUUCCUUCGCGUCGUUGUUCAGGGCCUCCAGUGCCUGCACCUUCUACUACGACUCCACGUCCUUGGCCUUUAGCAGAUCGUUCUCCCGCUUGAGAGCAGCGAUCUGAAUAUCAGCCAGGGCUAACUCCCGGUUCAUCUCAUCCCGGGCAUGAAGGUGCGCAUCCGAGAUGUUCGAUCUCUGUGCUUAUUUGUGCUAGUCCCUGGAUUGACUCACUAGCACACACAGUUUCAAGAUGUAAUACCAAGAUACAAAGGUCAAAAUGUACUUUAUUACAUCGUAUCAUCCAGAUCUUAAUUGUACUUACAAAUUUGCAUGACCCCUUCGGUCAGCAUAACAAAUAGAGUUCCAAGAUAACAAAAUAUUGUUUCUCAAACGGCAGCGGAAAAAGGUCGAGCAAAUGGGCCACAUCUACUCCCAAAGGAGAGAGCAUGUUGGAAUGUAAGCACAUGACCCAAAGAACAUCGACGAACCUCACUCUUCGUCAGAUUCACCUGCAUUAUUGAUUGCAGCCACUACGUGGUCAAUACAUUGAAUGUAUUGGCAAGUUCACCUGGAAAUUAUAACAGAUCCUACCAAGUAUAUGCAAUUGAGGUAUAGUGGGGUUCAGGCUUUAUGGCAUGGUAGCAAAAACAUAGUUUAUCCUACUACAAUUGAAUGUUACAUUAUUGUUAACUAACGGACACGGGGUAGAAACACCCAUGCUUUUAUUAACCUAGAGCACAUUGAGUAGAUACAUCAAGUGCCCCUACCCUGUUCAAACCAUUCAUUUUAUUUAAGAAAUUUGAAUGAGUGAGACCUUCUUUACAGCCCCAAUAUCUAGUUGCUCAUAAUUGCCCGUAACCGGGGACACGGCUAAGUACUUAGUUUGACACUCUCGAGAGGUUGUACACAUUCCCCACAAGAAAUCGACGUGUCAAUCCCUUGCUAUCCUCCGGGUGGAGUAGCAACGGCAUCGACUUCAAGAAUUUUCAGAACAUAUUCCCCCAGACCACCUGAGGGACCUGCGCUCCCACCUACACAACUACCUCAGUACAAUCCCUCGGAUCUGGGUUCAUAUUUCUUACUCCAUCCAGCCAGAGCCCAUUUAGCUUGUGGUUGUACUUUAAGCUACUAAACAGGAAACUAGUCCAAUCUCUGAUACCCCAGGUGGCAUUCCACAUUUGCAACGCAAGCGGUCCCCGAAUCCGCGGAAGUGACGUCCAUGGACGAUCCAUCUCCGAAUCCACAGAGACUCGACUCAGAGGAACCCAUAGAAAUGGAUCUGACGUCGCAUAACAUCUCAAAAUCUCAAAGCAGUCCACCCAAGAUGGUUCAUUAGGGUUGUUUUUGCCAAGUUUCCAAAAUCACUCCACAUCAUCAUUUCACAGUGAUUGAGAUUCCCUCCCAUGUUUACUAACAUAACAUGGCUAAGAAAUACUAAUCACGAUGGCUAGUGGUGGAUGAUUCAUGGCAAAGGUAACCCUAUAGCUAGUAGGUCAAUCAUAGCUAGCAUAAGUACGAGUAAUAGUCUUAUCAAUGCAUUUCUACAAAUAACUCUAAUGCAUAAAUAUUUUAAAAACAAUAAUAAUAGGAUAUGAUCAAAGUGAACUUGCCUUGGUAACAGUUGGAGUUCAAACACUCGUUACAAUCAUAAGGUUCGCUCUCCGAGAAAACUGUACGAUCAAACAAACAUACACAUACAUAAACACCCAAUUCACAUCAUGACAAAAAUGUAUGCUAUGAUGCAAUGCAACAUGUGACAUGAUUGGGUUUAUUUUAUUUGGGUGAUCAGCUGAUCCUAAGCAUAAGUAAUUAAAACAAAUGCAUUAGGUUUAAAAACAAAAAGCAAAAGCUAGGGUUUAAACCCUAAAAUAAGGUUUUAUUUGCAUCUGCAAAAAAAUUUAAUUCAAAAUAUUUAUUUCUCUGUCCCAAUGGACAGAGGACAAUUAAACAAAUUUUUGGGCACUGGUUUCAAUUAAAAAGGACUUCUAAAUAAUUAGUUAUGAAUUAAAUAGCAUUAAAAGCCUUUCUGUAAUUUGACUAUGGUUCAAAUAUUCAAAUUUAAAUUUAAAAAGUGCCAAAAGAUUCUACAGGUUGAGAGCUUUCAAAAAAGGUAAAGUUUGCCAAAUUUGGCCAAGGGGUUUAAAAGUUAUAAGCAUUUGAAGUUACAGGGGCUUUUCUGCAAAAGUGCCAUUUAAUCAAUUCCGAGAUUAAAAUUUUAUUCUCGUUUUUAUUUAAGCAAUGCCACGUGGCGCGUUCUCAUUAGACGGUACCGGUUCGAUUAAAAUUAAAACAGGGAUCUAAUCUCGGCCGUUAAUCUUAGAUCGGACGGCUCGGGAGCAUCGGGCUCACCUCCGGGAACCUAGGGUUCCGGCGAGGAACUUCGGCAGCGGCGGGGAGCGGCGGCGAGCGCCGUCUCCGGCGGUCGCCGGUCGUCGGGGAGGAGACGGGCGUGAGCGGCGCGACGAGACUAGCUCGGUGACGCGGUCCGUUCGGCGAGGCGAGGAUGAGUGCGACGCCUAGGACGGUGUGAACGCGACGGCAAGCAGCGGAGCUUUGGCGAGUGGUGGCGCGGCUUCUCCGCUGACCUAAAGGGAAAACCGUGCAGGUCAUGAGGUGUGCGAGGACGAGGGAAGGCGAACGGGCUAGAAAAGGGCGGAGCUUGACCUUAGGGUUCACCGGCGGCGACCAAAAUGUGCGGCGGCGGGCGAAGAGCUUCGGUGAGAGAUUCCGAUGGCGUGGGCGCGUGCGAGCGGGGGUGAGCAGAGGGGAAAGAAAGAGGAGGGGCGGGGCUUUAUAGGGGCGCGCUCGGGUUGCUUCAGGAAGGCCGAAAUCGGCGAGGAGCAGCGAUUUUUGGAUAAUUUUUGGAUAAUUAUUUGGAGUUGAAAAACGAUUUUAUUUAAAUAGUUAUAUAGCCCUAAAGGCAUUUAUAGGGCAAAUGUAUUUUUAUUUACUUUAUUCUGAGGGGAAAUUACUCCCAAAAGUUGAAUCAUGGUAAAGCAUGAUUUUACAAAUUUUCUGGAAUUUAUUUGGACCAAUUUGGAGUUCAAAAUCAAAAGAUAUCAAAGAAAUACGAAAAACAGAAAAAGAAAAGGCUAAAUGAAAAAAAAAGGGGAGAAAACCGGACCGGACACGCCCGGACCGGACCAAGCCGGCCUCGUGCCGCGCGCGCGCCUGCUGCCGCUGACGCGUGGGACCCGCGCGUCAGGGUUUUCAUCCCCGAUGGAAAGCGCCCGCGUCCGCCGCCGCGCGCCGUCUCCGCCGAGAUCUCCGCGCUCCGUCCAUAUUUCGCAGCCCCGCCCGCGUCCUUUAAAAGCCCGUGCCUCCCUCUCUUCUUCCCCUCUUCUCGCCGCCUCGAUUACGUGCCCCCGCCGACGAGUUUGCUCGCCGAAACCCUAGCGCCCGUCGCCGUCUCUCGCCCCGCGCUGACUCGCCAGUGAGCUUCUUCGCCCAAACAUUGAAAUUUCUGGACCGCAUCGCCCUCGCGCAUGUUUUGACGCGCACGGAUUUGUCCUAGGUGCCCCCUAGCCGCCGGAAACGCGCCGCUCGUCGCUCGCCGGAGUUCCGCCCAUGCCGCCGCGCUCGUCUCCGUCCUAGGCGAGGCCCCGCCCGCGUCCGCCGCCGCAUUCCUUCUUCGCCGCCGCGCGCCGUCUCCGCCGAGAUCUCCGCGCUCCGUCCAUAUUUCGCAGCCCCGCCCGCGUCCUUUAAAAGCCCGUGCCUCCCUCUCUUCUUCCCCUCUUCUCGCCGCCUCGAUUACGUGCCCCCGCCGACGAGUUUGCUCGCCGAAACCCUAGCGCCCGUCGCCGUCUCUCGCCCCGCGCUGACUCGCCAGUGAGCUUCUUCGCCCAAACAUUGAAAUUUCUGGACCGCAUCGCCCUCGCGCAUGUUUUGACGCGCACGGAUUUGUCCUAGGUGCGCCCUAGCCGCCGGAAACGCGCCGCUCGUCGCUCGCCGGAGUUCCGCCCAUGCCGCCGCGCUCGUCUCCGUCCUAGGCGAGGCGUCCGCCGUCCCCGAGUGCCGGCGACCGCGUCCGCGCCUUCGCCGUGCCGCGCCGCGUCGCCGCUGACCGUCCCCGAGCCGCCCGCCUCGCCGGAGUACCCGCGCCUCCCCCGCCCGGGCCGUGUCGCGGUCUUCCCCGUCUCCGACGUCCGCGGCCGCCGCGGGUAAAACCCUAGCGCAUCUCGGCCGUCCAUUUCAUCCCAACGGUCCAGAUUAGAUCCUAGAUUUUAAUUUAAUCGAACCAGUACGCGCCUAUUAGAACGUGACAUGUGGCACGGUAAAAUAAAAAUGAAAAUCUAAUUUUAAUCCCCCGGAAUAAUUAAAUGGCACUUUUGCAGAAAAACCCCUGUAACUUCAAAUGAUCAUAUCUUUUAAUCUUUUGGCCAAAUUUAACGAUCCACACCUUUUUAGAAUCCUUAGGAAAUUUAGAAUCUUUUGGCACUAUCCAAUUUCAAAUUUCAAUAUUUGAAUCACAUUCAAAUUUUAGAAUAGGGUUUAAUGCCAUUUAAAUCAUAACUAAUUAUUUAGAAAUCAUUUUUAAUUGAAACCAGUGCCCAAAUAUUUGUUUUAUUAUCCUCUGUUCAUUGGGACAGAGAAAUAAAUAUUUGAAUUAAAUUAUUUGACUGAGGCCCAUAAAAUUUAGGGUUUUAAUAAACUGUUUUUGCCUUUUGUUUAAAACCCUAGUGCUUUAUUUUUAAUUGGCAAUGCUUGGGAUCAGUUGAUCAUCCAAAUAAAAUAAACCAAGACAUGUCACAUGUAUACAUUGCAUCAUGGCAUACAUUCUUACUCUUGAUUGUAUUGUGUGUUUAUGUAUGCAAUGUUUGUAUUUGAUUAGUUUUCUCGGAGAGCGAACUGUGCGAUUGCGAAGAGUGCUUGAGUACCAACUGCUAUCAAGGCAAGUUCACUUUGACCAUCAUCCCAUUAUUUUAUUAUGCACUAGAUUUUAUUAGUUGCAUUGUUAGGAUUAUUAUUAUAUUUAUGCUAGCUAUGAUUCUCCUAGUAGUGUAGGAUACCCUUGCCAUGUCCUCACCACCAAUUGCCAUCGUCGUAGAAAAAUGCUAUGCUAUGAUAAUAUACGAGGGUGGUAUUUUUGCAAUGUGAUACUAUUGAAUUACAAUAUGGUUUUCUUAGUGUAUGGCAAAACAAGUAAUUCAAUGAACCGUCCUGGGUGGGCUGCUAUGAGGAAGUGGAGAUGUAUGCAACGUCAGGUCCAUUUCUAUGGGUCCAUUUCUAUGAGUCGUCUCGCCAUUUCUGUGGGAGCAUCUGCGUUGCAACUGAGGAAUGCCACCCGGGGUAACCAGAGACUGGACUAGUUUCCUGUUUAGUAGCUUCCAGUACAACCACAUGGUAUUAUGGGCUCUGCCAGGAUGGAUGUAAAAAAUAUGAACCCGGAUCCAAGGUGACAUCGGUAUGUAGCAGUGUAGGUGGGGGCGCGUCCCUCAGGUGGUCUAGGGGAUUAUGUUAUGAAAAUUCAUGUAGUCGAUGCCGUUGCUACUCUACCCUGAGGACAGCAAGGGAUUAACACGUCGAUUUCUUGUGGGGAAUGUGUACAACCUCUCGAGAGUGUCAAACUAAGUACUUAGCCGUGUCCCCAGUUACGGACAAUUAUGAGCAACUAGAUAUUGGGGCUGUAAGGAAGGUCUCACUCAUUCCAAUUUCAUAACAAAACAAAUGGAUUGAACUGGGUAGGAGCAUUGUUGUUUCUACUCAAUGUGGCUAGGUUAAUAGGAGCAUGGGUGUUUCUACUCCGUGUCCAAUAGAAUUCAAAACUAUUUGUUUAAACAUGAUAGGAUUGAACUAUGAUGCUUUUAUGCAACCAGCCAAACUCCACAUAGCCAAAUUAUGCAUCUACUUGGUAGGUCCUUUAUAACUCUUGUGAACUUGCCAAUACAUUGAAAUGUAUUGACCACGUAGUGGCUGCAAUUAACAAUGCAGGUGGAUCCGAAGAUGAGUGAGCUUCGUCGUUAUGUUGUGGGUCAUGUGCUUACAUUCCAACAUGCUCUCACCUUCGAGUAGUUGUGGCCCUUAUGUUCUACCCUUUUCCGCUGCGGUAGUUUGAAACAUUGUUUUUUUUUAUGAUGAAAUGGUCUUUGUUUUUUGCUGACCCAAGAGGUCAUGCGAGGUUUUAAGUACUAUUUAAAUCCUGGAUGAUGCGAUGUAAUAAAGUACCUUGACCUUUGUUUCUGUAUAUUUCAUCAUGAAACUGUGUGUGCUAGUGAGUCAAUACAGGGACUAGCACAGUAAGCACAGGGAUCGAACCCUAGUAAGGGGGAGGAUCGCUUCAGAUGGUAUCAGAGCAAUGUGUUGCCUGUAAGAACGUGACCCUAGCUUGGAUUAGGAUAAGACAGACCAAAGACCAAACCUUAGGAUUACUUUUUAUCCCUAUCUGAUCUAUAUAUAUACAUAUAUUUUAUUCCUUAUCCUAUUCAUCUGAAUCUUUGCUUUUAUAUCUUACAUAUGCGUGACAUAUUUGUUAUUUUAUUCCACAUAUACACCAAAUACUAUGCUUUAUACCACAUAUGCAUGUUUAUUAUAUUAUACCACAGAUGCAUACUUAUUUUUAUUACACCGUACACCACUAUAAUCAUGUUGCCAUGUUACGCACAUAAUAUUUUGCAUCCAAUUUUAUAUUGGCAUUUCCACCAUAAUAUUAAUGCUUAUUACUUUGUUCCCACUUUACUACAUUUACCUUAUUUUAUUUUUCCUCCAUACAUCCGACCAUUUGAUCAUGUCACUAAUACUCCCUUAUCUACCUUCUUUGUUUUCUAUAAAUGGGAAGCCCAACACCGUUCGGCAACGUAUCGCCGUUCACCCGUGUCUACUACCCCUCCACGGACGAGACCAGUUGUUCAGUGGCCCUUUGGCGGCACUGUGUGUUUUCCUCGACCUGCCACCACCCAGGUUCAGAGGCUGAGUCGAGACCGCCGCACCCGAGGGAUGGCAGCCACGGUGGGAGAUCGAGGCGAAGAUCCGUGGGCGUGAGAUCGCGCCAGCAAUGCCGGAUAUCACCUUCAUCAGCCGCUACCCCACCUUCGAGCGGGGCCUUAAGUUCGCCAUGCAGUACGCCUUCGCACAGGUGUGCCGGGACAAUCGGCACGAGUUCCCCGAGGACUCCCCCUUCCUCCUCUUUGGAAGGCGGAACCAUGCAUGCUCGGCAGUGGCUACAACCAACGACGAGGAUGCAACCCCAGUGACGACCCACUUCGAGAACAUGGAGAUAAACACCGUGGACUUGGAGUCUUGCCUCGAGCACAAGAUGACCAGGGCCGACCUAGCCGAGGAGCAGGUUGGUAAUCUGCUGGGAGAGAAGACCCAGUGGCUGGAGGACAAGGCCGUGUUGGAGAACAUGGGAGACGCCAUCGAGUAGAUGCAGUAUGAGAGGGACCAGGCUCGCUACUACUGCGAGCAGUUCAAGGCCUUCAUUGAGGCAGCAGCCGCAGCCGCCGCAGAGCCAGCACCAACUGCCGCACCGGCACCAGACCAGGCCCCACCAGGAGGUGGUACCAUAGGAGGAGGUGCCGACUGAGGAGGAGGAGCCCCGGGAGGUCCGCGAGAUGGACACCCCUGCCACCAACACCCGCUCCAAGAGGAAGAGGGUAAAUGGAGCCGCGACAUCAGCCCCACCUCCCUAGUCUCGAUGCCUGCCAGACUUUGUCAUUUUCUAUCGUUAUCAGUAUUGUGAGUUAGUCAUUGACCAUACAAUCUAUGUGUAUGUUAAUGUAGAUCGAUUGCAUUUUCCGUACUCUUUAUGGGCAGUACCCCAUCAUGAACAAGUCUGUUUUUGCUAUAAUUUCAAAAACUUUUUUUUAUGAUUGAUUGGGUGUAUGUUUGAUAUAUGCUUGAGUUAUAUCUUGUUUUGGGGGUUUAGUUAUCCUUAGCUCUAUUCUAUCUGUUUCCUCAUCUAUGCUACCCUAAACAGAUGCCUCCGAGACGCCAGAACCCUGCCAACAACGCUGAGGCUAACAAUGCCGACGCAGAAGGGAAUGCUGCAACCAUGCAGCAACUGUUGGCAGCACAGACCCAGUUGUUUCAGUUGAUUACACAGCAAAUGGCCAACAACAACAAUCAGCAGAACCACAACAACCAGCAGCACCACCCACCUCAAGUGGAUAUGCUGACCAGAUUUCUGCGUUUGCGCCCGCCUACCUUUUCCAGCUCCACUGAGCCCAUAAUGGCUGACGAUUGGCUACGUUCGGUCAACAAAAAUUUGGUCACCAUCAACUGCGUUGAGGAAGAGAAAGUGCGAUUCGCAGCUCAUUUGCUAGAAGGACCCGCAGCGUCAUGGUGGGAGAAUUUUCAGAUCACCACCACCAUCGAGGAUGUCACCUGGGACAUGUUCCAGUAAGCCUUCCGCACCACCCACGUCUCUGCGGGAGUGCUUAGCCUGAAGAAGAUGGAAUUCCACAGACUGCGACAGGGAAGCCGCUCUGUGUCAGAGUAUAUAGAAGUUUUCAACCAACUGUCCCACUAUGCGCCGGACGAUGUGUACACCGAUGCCAAGCACAGGGAGAAGUUCUUGGAUGUUUGAACGACGAGCUAUCGGUUCAAUUCGCUGUUGCUUACACCCCCACUUACCAGUCCCUGAUUGACAAGGCCAUCAUUUUGGAGAGCAAACUCACUCAAAUGGAGAGCCGCAAGAAGAGACUUCACCAAGGAGGCUCUCACAGUGGCCCGCACCAGAAGCAGCGCACCUCCUAUGACGGAAGUGGCAGUUCCUCCUUGAGCAGGAACGGGAACCAGAGCAACCACCGCAGUGGAAGUAAUGGUCACCACCACCGCCAGGGAAGCCAAGGACACCACCACCAGGGUGGCAAUGGAAACCGGCACCAUCCGCAGCACCAACACCAGCAGCAGCAUCAGUUCACUCGCCCAAGGCCCAUCAACGGCAAUGGCCAGGGCAACAGUGGUCAGAACCACAAUGCCAACAAGGACAUGAGCAAAGUGGAGAGUGCUUUAAGUGUCACAAGAUGGGACACUACGCCACCAACUGCCCGGAGAACCAGGAUGGCACUGGAAACAAGCCCAAUCCAUUCCAGAAGGGCCACGUGAAUCACGUGGACGUGGAAGAGAUCACCGAGGAACCAGGUAUCAUACUUGGCACCUUCCACAUUAAUGCUUUUGAAGUACUAGUUUUAUUCGACACUGGUGCAUCACAUUCAUUCAUUUCAAGAGUAUUGGUAGAAAGAGGCAAAUUACCCUCUUGGCUAGACCCAUGAAAGUGAACUCACCGGGUGGAACAAUGCUAGCAACCCAACACUGCCACCAGCUACCCCUAAGUAUUGGGAGACACACUUUUCCCUCUGAUCUCAUAGUUAUAGAUUCCCGAGGACCGGACCUAAUCCUGGGAAUGGACUGGUUGACCUUGUAUGAAGGUUUAGUAGACUGUGCCUAGAGGACUAUCACACUUACAACCCCAGACAAAAGACGCAUCCGGUACAAGUCAACCCAUGAGCUUAAGAGACCCAAGGUUAAUGCUCUUAAGGGGGUUAGCAUGGACAAAGUACCAAUAGUGAAGGAAUACCCGGACGUAUUUCCAGAGGAAUUACCAGGCAUGCCACCGGACCAUGAUGUUGAGUUCCUCAUUGAGUUAAUGCCAGGAAGUGGACCCAUAGCCAAGAGACCAUAUAAGAUGGCUGUGGAUGAAUUAAAGGAGUUAAAGAAAUAGCUAGCUGAACAGUUAGCGAAAGGUUUCAUCCGCCCCAGUUCAUCACCGUGGGGAGCACCUGUCCUGUUUGUGGAAAAGAAGGACAAGAGCCAAUGGAUGUGUAUCGACUAUCGUCCACUAAAUGAGGUGACGAUAAAGAAAAAGUAUCCUUUGCCCAUAAUCAAGGAUCUAUUCGAUCAAUUGAAGGGAGCUCAAGUGUUCUCAAAGAUCGAUCUGCGAUCAGGACAUUUUCAGUUGAAAAUCCGAGAGAUGGAUAUAACCAAGACGACAUUCACCACUAGGUAUGGAUUGUAUGAGUACACCGUGAUGCCAUUCGGUUUGACCAAUGCACCUGCAUACUUCAUGAACAUGAUGAACAAGGUGUUCAUGGAAUUCUUGGACAACUUUGUCAUAGUAUUCAUCAAUGACAUAUUGAUCUAUUCCAAGAGCAAGGAAGAGCAUGAGCAACAUCUGCACAUGAUUUUGGAGAAGGUGAGAGCGCACCAGCUGUACGCCAAAUUCAGCAGGUGUGAAUUUUGGUUAUCAGAAGUCAGUUUCCUUGGACACAUAGUGUCAGGAGCCGGAGUAGCUGUUGACCCAGCUAAGGUUGCAGCAGUUACAGAAUGGGAGGCACCGAAGAACAUCGGGGAAGUCCGCAGUUUCCUUGGACUUGCUGGUUACUACUGGAGAUUUAUUGAAAACUUCUCCAAAAUAGCUAAACCUAUGACGGAACUCUUAAAGAAGGAGAAGAAGUUUACCUGGAAUGAGAAUUGUGAAGAGAGCUUCCAGGAAUUGAAGAAGAGACUAGUGUCAACGCCCAUCCUUGCUUUACCUGACCUGCAGGAGGAUUUUCAAGUUUACUAUGACGCCUCACGUCAAGGAUUGGGAGGAGUGUUGAUGCAAGGAGGAAGAGUUGUAGCGUACGCUUCGCGGCAACUAGAGAGCCACGAAGGCAACUAUCCCACUCAUGACUUGGAGUUAGCAUCGAUAGUGCACGCCCUGAAGACUUGGAGACACUACCUGAUGGGAAAACAUUGUGAACUAUUUACUGAUCACAAGAGCCUGAAGUACAUAUUCACUCAGAAGGAGUUGAAUCUGAGGCAGAGAAGAUGGUUAGAACUGAUAAAGGAUUAUGACCUGAGUCUGCAAUACCAUCCAGGCAAGGCUAAUGUAGUAGCCAAUGCAUUGAGCCGCAAGGGCUAUAUUAAUGGACUAACAGCUGGAGAAUUACCACCGGAGUUGUGUGAACAGUUCAAGGACCUCAGACUGGAAAUAGUACCGGAAGGUUACUUAGCCACCUCAGAAGUACAGCCCACGUUGCUGGAUAAGAUUAGAGAAGCACAGAAGAGCGAUUCAAAAAUUAAGGAAAUAAAAGAAAAUAUGCUUAUUGGAAAGGCCAAAGAUUUUCGAGAAGACGACCAGUGAACCAUAUGGUUCGGAAAACGCAUUUGCGUACCGCAGGAUCCAGAAAUCAGAAAGUUGAUACUGCAAGAAGCCCAUGACUCACUGUACUCAAUCCACCCUGGAAACACGAAGAUGUACAUGGACCUAAACAUUUUGGUGGUCCGGAUUAAAGCGAGACAUCGCAGAGUUCAUUGCCUUGUGCGAUGUGUGUAGCAGAGUUAAGACAGAGCACUAGAAGCCAGCAGGAUUGCUAAGACCGCUGCCUAUACCAGACUGGAAAUGGGAUAAAGUUGGCAUGGACUUUAUCACCGGUUUACCAAGAACCAGAUCAGGUUAUGAUUCUAUUUGGGUAGUAGUUGAUCGUUUAACCAAGGUCGCCCAUUUCAUACUGGUGAAGACUACUUACACCAGUGCACAGUUAGCGAAACGCUACAUUUCCAGAAUAGUGUGUUUACACGGGGUACCCAAGGAAAUAGUUUCAGACAUAGGUACCCAAUUUACCUCAAGAUUUUGGGGACAGCUUCAUGAGUCUCUAGGAACGAGACUAGAGUUCAGCACAGCUUUUCAUCCGCAGACGGAUGGACAAACUGAGAGAGUUAAUCAAAUCCUUGAGGAUAUGUUGAGAGCCUGCGCUCUAGACUAUGGAUCCAGUUGGGAUGACAAUCUGUCGUAUGCAGAGUUUUCAUACAACAACAGCUUCCAAGCCAGCUUAGGAAUGUCACCGUUUGAAGCUUUGUAUGGAAGGAAGUGCAUAACACCAUUGUUAUGGGAUGGUGUAGGAGACCGUAGCCUAUUCGGCAAAGAUUUGAUAAAGGAUGCCGAGGAAAAGGUUAGACUCAUCCGAGACCGACUGAAGGUAGCUCAGUCAAGGCAGAAAAGCUCCGCAGAUACCAAACGUAGGGAGGUUACCUACGUGAUUGAAGGAAGAGCGUAUCUCAGAGUUUCGCCGAUACGCGGGGUAAAGAAAUUUGGUAUCAAGGGAAAGUUAGCACCCCGUUUCAUUGGACCUUUCAAGAUCUUGUCACGCCAAGGAGAAGUGGUUUACAAGUUGGAUUUACCAGAAGCUCUGUCCAAUGUCCACAAUGUCUUCCAUGUAUCGCAACUAAAGAAGUGUCAUCCUAAGAUGGCCGACACACCACUAAGGGAUACGAUACCCCUAGAAGAAGUCCAGCUGCAGAGUGACCUCACCUAUGAGGAGAAACCGAUCAGGAUCUUGGAUACAGCUGAGAGACAAACCCGAUCCAAGACCAUCAGGUUCUGCAAAGUUCAGUGGGACCAUCACACUGAAGAGGAAGCCACUUGGGAACGCGAAGAUGAUCUUCGAGAAGACCACCCACACCUCUUUGCUAGCCACACCGAAUCUUGAGGACGAGAUUCAUCUUAAGGGGUUAGGUCUGUAACAUCCCAAAAUUUCAAACUUUUACAUGUGCAUUGCAUCAUAAGCAUCAUGCCACAAUUGCAUAUUUGAAUUCAAUUUUGAAUCUCAAAAGGCUUUGGAAAGAUUUUUAUUUCAAUUUAAACCUUAGCGUUUACACCCAUUUGAGCUUUGGAUCUUCAAACCAAUAAGAUUUAUUUAUAAAAGGGGUUUAUUGCAUAAAUAAGCUAUCCCAUAAUUUUUGGAUAAUUAUUUGGAGUUGAAAAACUAUUUUAUUUAAAUAGUUAUAUAGCCCUAAAGGCAUUUAUAGGGCAAAUGUAUUUUUAUAUACUUUAUUUUGAGGGGAAAUUACUCCCAAAAGUUGUAUCAUGGUAAAGCAUGAUUUUACAAAUUUUCUGGAAUUUAUUUGGACCAAUUUGGAGUUCAAAAUCAAAAGAUAUCAAAGAAAUAAGAAAAACAGAAAAAGAAAAGGCUAAAAGAAAAAAAAGGGGAGAAAACCUCGCGCUGUCUUCGCCGAGAUCUCCGUGCUCCGUCCAUAUUUCGCAGCCCCGCUCGCAUCCUUUAAAAGCCCAUGCCUCCCUCUCUUCUUCCCCUCUUCUCGCCGCCUCGAUUACGCGCCCACGCCGAUGAAUUUGCUCGCCGAAACCCUAGCGGCGCCGUCGCCGUCUAUCGCCCCGCGCCGGCUCGUCGGUGAGCUUCUUCACCCAAACCUUGAAAUUUCUGGACCGCAUUGCCCUCGCGCCCGUUUUGACGCGUGCGGAUUUGUCCUAGGUGCCCCCUAGCCGCCAGAAACGCGCCGCCCGUUGCUCGCCGGAGUUCCGCCCGCACUCGUCUCCGUCCCCGGCAAGGCGUCCGCCGUCCCCGAGCGCCGACCACCGCGUCCGCGACUUCGCCGUGUCGCGCCGCGUCGCCCCCGACCAGCCCCGAGCCGCCCGCGUUGCCAGAGUACCCGCGCCACCGUCUUCCCCGUCUCCGACGUCCGCCGCCGCCGCGGGUAAAACCCUAGCGCAUAUCGGCUGUCCAUUUCAUCCCAACGGUCCAGAUUAGAUCCUAGAUUUUAAUUUAAUCGAACCGGUACACGCCUAUUAGACGUGACACGUGGCACGGUAAAAUAAAAAUGAAAAUCUAAUUUUAAUCCCCCGGAAUAAUUAAAUGGCACUUUUGCAGAAAAGCCCCUGUAACUACAAAUGAUCAUAUCUUUUAAUCUUUUGGCCAAAUUUAACGAUCCACACCUUUUUGGAAACCGUAGGAAAUGUAGAAUCUUUUGGCACUGUCCAAUUUCAAAUUUGAAUAUUUGAAUCACAUUCAAAUUUCAGAAUAGGGUUUAAUGCCAUUUAAAUCAUAACUAAUUAUUUAGAAAUCAUUUUUAAUUGAAACCAGUGCCCAAAAAUUUAUUUUAUUAUCCUCUAUUCAUUGGGACAGAGAAAUAAAUAUUUUGAAUUAAAUUAUUUGACUGAUGCCCAUAAAAUUUAGGGUUUUAAUAAACUGUUUUUGCCUUUUGUUUAAAACCCUAGUGCUUUAUUUUUAAUUGGCAAUCCUUGGGAUCAGUUGAUCAUCCAAAUAAAAUAAAUCAAGACAUGUCACAUGUAUACAUUGCAUCAUGGCAUACAUUCUUACUCUUGAUUGUAUUGUGUGUUUAUGUAUGCAAUGUUUGUAUUUGAUUAGUUUUCUCGGAGAGCGAACUGUGCGAUUGUGAAGAGUGCUUGAGUACCAACUGCUAUCAAGGCAAGUUCACUUUGACCAUCAUCCCAUUAUUUUAUUAUGCACUAGAUUUUAUUAGUUGCAUUGUUAGGAUUAUUAUUGUAUCAAUGUUAGCUAUGAUUCUCCUAGUAGUGUAGGAUACCCUUGCCAUGUCCUCACCACCAAUUGCCAUCGUCGUAGAAAAAUGCUAUGCUAUGAUAAUAUACGAGGGUGGUAUUAUUGCAAUGCGAUACUAUUGAAUUACAAUAUGGUUUUCUUAGUGUAUGGCAAAACAAGUAAUUCAAUGAACCGUCCUGGGUGGGCUGCUAUGAGGAAGUGGAGAUGUAUGCAACGUCAGGUCCAUUUCUGUGGGUCCAUUUCUAUGAGUCGUCUCGCCAUUUCUAUGGGAGCGUCUGCGUUGCAACUGAGGAAUGCCACCCGGGGUAACCAGAGACUGGACUAGUUUCCUGUUUAGUAGCUUCCAGUACAACCACAUGGUAUUAUGGGCUCUGGGGGAUUAUGUUCUGAAAAUUCCUGUAGUCGAUGCCGUUGCUACUCUACCCUGAGGACAGCAAGGGAUUAACACGUCGAUUUCUUGUGGGGAAUGUGUACAACCUCUCGAGAGUGUCAAACUAAGUACUUAGCCGUGUCCCCGGUUUCGGACAAUUAUGAGCAACUAGAUAUUGGGGCUGUAAGGAAGGUCUCACUCAUUCCAAUUUCAUAACAAAACGAAUGGAUUGAACUGGGUAGGAGCAUUGUUGUUUCUACUCAAUGUGGCUAGGUUAAUAGGAGCAUGGGUGUUUCUACUCCGUGUCCAAUAGAAUUCAAAACUAUUUGUUUAAACAUGAUAGGAUUGAACUAUGAUGCUUUUAUGCAACCAGCCAAACUCCACAUAGCCAAAUUAUGCAUCUACUUGGUAGGUCCUUUAUAACUCUUGUGAACUUGCCAAUACAUUGAAAUGUAUUGACCACGUAGUGGCUGCAAUUAACAAUGCAGGUGGAUCCGAAGAUGAGUGAGCUUCGUCGUUAUGUUGUGGGUCAUGUGCUUACAUUCCAACAUGCUCUCACCUUCGAGUAGUUGUGGCCCUUAUGUUCUACCCUUUUCCGCUGCGGUAGUUUGAAACAUUGUUUUUUUUAUGAUGAAAUGGUCUUUGUUUUUUGCUGACCCAAGAGGUCAUGCGAGGUUUUAAAUACUAUUUAAAUCCUGGAUGAUGCGAUGUAAUAAAGUACCUUGACCUUUGUUUCUGUAUAUUUCAUCAUGAAACUGUGUGUGCUAGUGAGUCGAUCCAGGGACUAGCACAGUAAGCACAGGGAUCGAACCCUAGUAAGGGGGAGGAUCGCUUCAUGUGGCAUCCCCCACCACUGAUCUUGGUCUUUUAGUCGUGAUGCUUUGGCCCGCCAGACGGACCUAUCAGCUGCGCGGCCCACAACGCCGCACUCUCCUCAGAGAACGUCGCUGAAAAAAGUCAAGCCGAAAUUGUUAAGUACCUCCGCAAGGGAAAAACAAUCGAAGCGCGAAGGGAAGAGGAGUGGCACUCACGUGUGGUGACAAGAUGAGGAGGACGGAAAGAUCGAGGGAUCCCAAUCUCGGACCUCGGACGACUCCUCAUCAUAAAGUGCCCCGCCAUCAGCAUCUCCUCCAUGAGGUCACGAAAGCUCCUCUCGGAAGACACCUCCUUUAUCUUGGCCACCUUCCAGAGGGGCCAACCGAGGCUCGCCGGGGUGAGGCACAUCCCUGAGGCCUCCUGCCCCAGAGUGCCGAGGAAGAUCACCCGUGUGCCGAAGACGGGUCCUCGAGGCCCGAAGGAGAAACCACUGGGACUCCCACUUGAUGAACAACUUCUCCGUCCUCUUCCCCAACAUGAGUAGGAAGUUGUCCCCAAAGCCGGAACGAAGCCUCAGGUUCACCGAACCAAAGGCACUCAGAGCGAAUCCGUCCGGAGUGAGCAACCCCCUCACCUCCACGGUGAAGUAGAACAACAGAAGCUUCAUCGAAGGCUCCUCGUGAAGUGUCGUCUCACACAGCCACCUGAAGACGUUCAACCUCACGAUCGUCGACGGGUGAAGCUGGGCCAACUCGAUGCCGUAUGUCUCCAGGUACUCCAGCAAGAAGGGGUGACCGGCACACUCAAACCGGCGUGAAACCAAGCCGAGAAUGCCACGAUGCAUCCCGGACGCUGCCGCUGGUCAAGCCUAACCUCCUCGCUAUCGGGCAAGAUACCGUCUGACGUGGUUAUGACUAACCACGUACCCGACUUGAGUAUACCCGGUACAGCCCAGCUGGGGGCCCACAAGGAAGCCUACUACGACUCCAGGAGUCUACAUGCCAAAUCUUGCAACUCAAGAUAAGGAAGAUUAAUUAGAGUGUAUCUCCUCAUUGUAACCGACUUGGACUCUACCUUAGACCUGAGUUCCUGCAUAUAUAAAGGACCAAGAGGACACCCCAACUUAGAUAGAAGUCGCCUAGAAGCGCUCAUCAACUCUGUGCAUCUAGACUCUGCGGCACCCCAUUGUAAUCGACUCAUCAAUACAGAUCCGACAAGCAGGACGUAGGGGUAUUACCUCAUCGAGGGCCCUGAACCUGGGUAAAUCGUGUCUCCUGUGUCCUUGUUAGCCGAAGAGUUCACCAAAACACUCAAAAUCUUUCCUAGAUACAAGUCCAUCAAUAUGGACAUUGUCGAAGUCACAUCUUCGUCAUUGGUGCCGUCUGUGGGAAAGACGUGUGUUGGAAACACGACCUCGGCGGUUUCAGAUCCAGCACAACCAUCAUCGACUCAAGCGGAGUCGACGAUCCUCGAGUCCUCUAUAAGCUUGAUGCCCACCUGGAUCUCAUAUUCGGCGAGUUCCACGUCCGAGCCGGUAUCCUUCGACUACCAUGUCCGACUGACUCGACUCCAAAAGAGUUGCUUCUCCUUUCUACCUCAGAGAAAGACCCGCCGACAGGCUCGUCGGAGCCACUCAAGGAAGCAAAGCAAGUCCCCUCUUGGACAUGCUCCGAUUCUAAAGACGAUCCAUCCUCACGUGCGGACAGCCCCGUCCCUAGCGACGAUGGCGACCGCUCGGAACAAGGAAGUUGCCAUGACAACCCCACCUCGCCGGGUUCACCCAACGAAACAGAACAGGUUUCCUUUGGAACUACUCUGAUUCUGAUAGAAAUCCACCCCAGUCUGCCGAAAGCCCCAUCCCAAGCGACGCCGGCAACUGCUCAGAGUGGGAAGGCUGUCAUAGCAGCAGCGAUCUUGCACCCAAGUGCGCCAUCGCUCAAGUCUUCAUGACAAAUCCCGUCGCCCCGAAGCCGACUCCCCCGGUUGCGAGUGCAUCCGCAAAUCUGCCGACUAGAUAUCCCGCGGUAGAGAAAGCUCGAGUCCAGGCAGCUGUUGAGUCGGGAGUCCUCAUGAAGGAUCCCACCACCGCUGAGUUGCAAUUAUAUGCCAACUCUCUUGCCAGGUCCCAAUGUGACCUGAAUAAAGAGAAAGAGGAUUUCGUCAAGAAGCAAAAGCUUGAAGCAGAGAGAUUGAAGAAACUAGAUGAAGAUAUCCAGGCACACAAAAGAACUCGCUCGGGUUCACGCAGCGAUUCUGAUGGAGCCACUCCUCCUAGAGCUCUCCCAAACGAAAUGUCUCGGGUCGUGACCACACGACCCGAAACCUGGCUCCAAGCUUCAUGUCGGUUGACGACCACGGCGAUAUCGUACUAGAAACCCCAGAGGCUGUCUUGCUUGCAACCAAUACUUACCUACAAACAAUCCAGCCACCCGACAGUGACCCGCGCGUGCGGCUUCAAAAACAGAUUCUGGAAAGAUUGAAUAGGGUAGGGGCUUCUUGUAUCAGCUAGGAUUUCAACAACCGAAGGCCGCCGCUGGACAGGACUCCAUCCCGCAGCGAAGGAGAAAUCUAGCACAACCUCGACCCGCCUCCACGUGGCUGCAGGGAGCGCGACUCGCACCCAAGGAAAACACUAGGAUCCCCUCGGGUCGCAAACCGUGAUCGGCAAGACAGGUAUCGCGACCGCUUGCUAGACUCCAAUCACAAGGCGGAGACAUGCGGAGCGUCUUGCUUCAGCCGUCGCAUCCGCCAAGCUAGGAUGCCCAGAAAUUUCAAACCGCCGACCGAUCUAGCCAAGUAUGACGGCACUCAAGAGCCCAAAACUUGGUUGGAAGACUACCUCACUGGGAUUCGCUGCCAAGGCGGUUCUCGUACUACCGCCAUGCAGUGCCUGCAGUUGCAACUCAAAGGCCCUGCACGCACGUGGCUAACCGGCUUACCACGAGACAACAUUGACUCGUGGGAUGAGCUCGUCCAAGCUUUCACCCGCAACUUCAAGUCCACGUACAAACGACCCAUCUCCCUAGAGCAACUCCGAGCUUGCAUUCAAAAAGAGGGAGAAUCCAUCCAUUCGUACAUCCAGCGCUAGACCAUAACCAAACAUGCUUCUGAAGAAGUCUCCGAUGAAAGCGCCAUCGACGCAUUCAAACGAGGACUCCGACGAGUCGAACUCAAGGAGGAAUUGGGUCAUGUCCGGCCCACAGCCAUCAGCUACCUGAUGGAAAUCGCCAAUCGAUGGGCUGAUGGUGAAGACUCGGUUCGCAAUGAGCGCCACCGAUCUCUAGAAGAAGACGGCGAUCGCGGUCACGAUCGAAGGAGGAAGCGCAAAAACCGAGCUUUCGAAGAGUCACACCCACCUGACUUCAUCGCAGCCGCCUCUCCGUCAGAUUUUGGCUCUCGGGAGAACGGGAAUCGCGGUGGAGGUUUUUGAGGUGGUGACAAGCGCAAGCAACAAUGGCAGAGAAACGAGAACCAACCCACCCUCUCUCAACAGCUGGCUUCCCCUUGCCUGUUUCACGUCUACAGGGAUGAGCAAGGCAACAUCAAGCCAAGUCACCCUGUAGCCGAGUGCCGGCGUUUCAAGGAACUACAGGCUGAGUUUGCCGGGACACAGCAGUUGGCAACCAGUGCUGGCUUCUCACAAUUACCUGGGUCGCUUCCAUACCCCAACGAAGGAGUCAAUGCGCCUUUGCCGCCUCCCAUACUAGGAGCUCUAGCCAUUGGUGCUCCUCCUCCUCCUCCGCGCCCAGCCAGUUUCGCCAGCGCAGUGCACCCAGUUGCAUGAUUCAGAAAGGGAAACCUGUGAGACCCCGGGACUGGAUUUAUGCAAUUUAGCCCCAAAUGCUAACUCGCACAUAAAUCAAGCCCCAGUGCCUCCCUACGAUGAACACUUCACAACAUACACGCAAUGUGUUCACCGCAGAUUGGAACAACAAUGAUAUCAUUACAUCACUCUAAGACACAAGAGUUAAGUCAAGUUCACACAUAGGGCAAAGUACCAAGUUAUUACAACUCACAGACACAUGUCCACAAUCAUCAUUACACCAGCGGAAGCAAAAUAGGCCCGAGUACGGACAAGUUACAAUUAUUGCCUAAGAGGCUGAAACUGAAAAGGAGAGCCACCACAAGUUCACAGAACCCUGCUCUGGGAUCUUCUGGCUAAACGUCGAAGCUGUCGUCGCCAACUCCACCAAGUAACCACUCACCUGUUCCUCUGGAAACUCUGGAGAAAACAACGUUGCAAAGCAACUGAGUACAAAGUACUCGCAAGACUUACGGGAGAUCUAAACUAGAUAUGCAACAAGUCUCAAAGGAUGGAUAAAAGAUGGAUUAUGCAGCAGCGAUAUAUAUCUGGAGAGACGCGCCUAUGACAUCGUCUAGAUAGAGGAUAAAGAGCGUCUACCAAGUGAGGUGAUAACCUAAUAACUAACACCAACCAAACACAACCUCUUAUCACCCCCUCAACCCCUUGUGAGGAAAUGAUCCAAAGGCACUCACACUUAAGCAGUUUUUAGGCAUAUCCAUGAUUAAAGGCUAAUUACUAUUCAAGUUUAAGAGACUAAGUUAAUUAAUUGGUAUGAGUUCUCUAUGAUCAAGUAAUGACCAACCAAGUCGUCCAUAACCGCGGAUACGGCUUUCCGAAAGAUUUAUCCCUGCAGGGUGUGCCAAUUUACCCGUACACGCUCGUCCAACCCUUGACGCCACUAGCAUGGAACACACGCAAAAGCAUGUGCCGGCAGGAUUGAGCGACACGACGUUUCCAAGCCCCACAACUAAUCCAGGGGACCACCCAACUGAGUCUAAUCCGAAACGAGAGCCCGGCCGAAGCGUCGUACGGACUCAAAAGUUGCGUGGACAGCUGGUAGUGGUUCACUGUCCGCAGAAUGACCACUCCAGACUAGUGCCACAAUCCUAUAUGUAUGCAAAGUAACAACAAGUCUCCAAACACAACCCCAGUGUAUAUGCGAUAUGCCAAAUGGAACGCCCGAACUAUGUGGCCCCUGGAAGAGCUAUGAAACGAGUACUAAGCCGAGGGGGAACCCAUAUAUUCUCCCGCGAGCGGUUAGCACGAAGUUUCUUGGGUCGGCGAAAACAAGAACUCAGUCCUUAGGUCGGCGCCAAUGGAACAAAACACCAAUGGAACAGGUCACAGUUUAAGAAUUGCAGUUAAAUACAGAAAAGUAGCAUGUGGAUGUAGCAAUUGUGUAACCCCAAGUAAGGACACUAGACUAGCAAUCUAAGCAGACUUCUAAUGACUAGAGCAAUAACAAACAUGUGACAUGGUAAUAGGGUAAGGAACAAGACAACAGGCAUUUGAGUAGAGCUGACUAAAGCUAUGCAAUACUAGAGGCAUCGUGACAAGAACCGAGAACGUAACCUAAUGCAAGAAUGAGAGAGAGGCAUUGGUAUAAUCAACAUGUUCAAGGAAUGGCUGCUUGCCUGGAUUCUCGGUCGCUGGGCACCGAGAGAGGGGAUCCGAAGAAGUGUGGGAACCCGGAUCGUCGACGGAGUAAGUCGGAGUUGCUAACGCAAAGAUCCAAAUCACACAAUACGCAAAUAAAUAACAAUUCAUAGGUGCAAUACACAAUACAACAUGAGAUGACAUGUGACAACAUGAUGCAUCAAGAUGCAAGUGAAAGGAUUCCAUUUAGCAUCAAAAUUAACCAUUAGGUGACAAGAACAUGGUUAACAAUAGCUUUAUCAUACACAAAUGGCCUAACCAGGUAUGCUACUGUGUUCUACAAGUUACAGUGAUCAACUUUGAUGCUUACAUUAUUUGCAGAAGAGUUACCAAUUUUAAACUAGAGACUAAACAAGUUCAUGCUUUUGAAUUUCAAAUCUGGGACAGAUUUGAAAUUUGAAACCUCAAAAUGUAAAUCUAGUUGCACAGUUAAAAUCCUUGCAUUUUUCUGAUUCCAAAACAUAUAUGGUUUGCUCAAAUUGGACAUAGCAUGCAUUUUCUAGGAUUUAAGCAAGAUUAACUCCAUUUAUGCAUUUAAACAAAAGCAAAAAGAAAACCACUCGGAACCAGCGCAUGGACUCGGUCCAUCGGGCGCAUCGGUGCACUAGGUGACUGACAGGUGGGUCCAUGGGGCCCACGUGUCAGUGGCCAGUUUAAGGCCACGGGAGAUCGAACCCGGGUCGGUCUGACCAAGCGAACGGACGAGUGAGGUAACCAGGCAGGCGGUGGAACGGAUCUUAGUAGAUCCAGGGCACAAGCCCUCUUAUCUGAACCCAAGCGGGCGGCUUGGGAGCACGCGCGGCAGCCACGGCGAGCAUGGAUGCCGGCGACCAAGCUAGUGGCGUAGGGGCUCCCUAACAAGGAAAAACAGAAGCGGUGCGCGAAGAGGGUCUAGAUGGCACGAAGGCCAUCACAGCAUCCUUAAGGAGACGACGGCGCGGCGACGAGCUGAAGCUUGCCGGCGCACGGCAGAGCGCGCGCUUGCGGCUACGGAGCUACGGUGCAUGAAAAGCAGCGCGGAAAGAGGCAAGAGGAAGAGCAUCUCACCCCGGAUCUUCAGGAGGAAGCUGGUGAGGAAAGAGUCAACGAGCUCACCGGAAUUUGUCGGAGAAGAGGCGGCGGCCGGAGAUGGGGAAGACGACCUAGGCGUCGGUGUAGACUUCCGCGCUCCAAUUCGUUGCACCCGGACGAAGAGGAAGACGAGGCGCGCUUGACGACGCGGUCGGCUUGCCGCCGUUCGGCCGGAGACGGGGGCGCGUUGGCGACGAGCUCGCGGCAGAAAACGGGCGCCGGCGCCGCGCAGCGAGAGAGGGGAGUUGGGCUAGGGUUUGCCGGCCUAGGGUUAGCAGGAGGGGCGCGGAGCAGCUUAUAAAGGUGGCGUGGAGGCGUGGCUGUCGCUGUCGAAGAGGAUGUGGCGGGGGGGCUCACCGGUCGGGAGGGAGAAAAGGUGAGGAGGAAGACGGGCGUGUGAGAGGUCGCGUAUUUCGUAGAAUGCGCUUUCGCUGCGGGGAAACGGCACGCGGGCGCUGCGCGAAGGAAGCUGGGCCGCGAGCGCGGGCGGGCCGCGCGCGCGAGGAGAAAGGAUGGGCCGCGUUGCUGGGCUGCGCGGCGCGCGGGGAAGGCGGGCCGAGGCGGCUAGGCCGGCUCGGGCCAAGUGAGCAGGUAAGGUUUUGUUUUUCUUUUUCCCUUUUCUAUUUUCUGUUUGUGCAAAUGCUUUUGGAUUCAAAUUUCAAAUACCAUUUUGAAAAGCUGAGAAGUAAUAGAAUUCAAAUAUGGUACUAGUAUUUGGAAUUAUUCAAAUGGGGUUUAAGGUUUAAAACAAAACCCAUUUGAAUCUCAUUUGAAAAAUAGAGGGAAAAGAAUUCAAACUAUAAGGAGGGUGAUUCAUAUUUGAAUCUUCUAGCAAAAUUACACAACAAGCAUUCAAACCACAAUUUGAGAUGCAAAUUUAAAACUCAUGUGACACAAAUAAUAGACAUGGCAUGGCAUGGAUGCAAUGUAAUUGUCAUGCAGCAUUUAAAUAAAUUACAAACAGGUCCAAACAAGGGCUUAAAUGUAAAAGUUGUUCUCGGGCUGUUACAAAACCCACAAAUCGGGUCCAGAAGUCCAUAACUCGACAGGUCCAUAUGGCCGUGAGGUCACCUCCCUCUUCAACGAAGUACCUCGACUGGUCUAAAGUGGAGAUCGCAUUCUCCAGAGAAGAUCACCCACCCUGCAUCCCGCAAUCGGGAAACGCAGCACUGGUGCUCGACGCACAUAUCGGGGGCUACAUUUUAAACAAAGUGUUCAUCGACGGCGGAAGUGGGCUAAACAUUAUCUACGCCGACACCUUACGAAAGAUGAACCGCUCAACAACAAAGCUGGCUCCCACAAAGACAACCUUCCAUGGGAUCAUCCCAGGAAAAGUAGCCAUCCCGCUGGGCAAAGUUAACCUUGACGUGGUGUUCGGCACACCCGACAAUUUCAGACGUGAAAGACUCGACUUCGAAGUGGUUGACUGGCCAUCCCAGUACCACGUGGUCUUGAGUCGCGUCGCGCUAGCACGCUUUAUGGCAGUCUUGCAUUACGCUUACCUUAAGCUAGAAAUGCCUGGACCCAACGGCGUGAUAACUAUCUCUGGAAGCUUCCUGUGGUCUGACCACUGCGACUGUGAAUUCCAUAAAAUUUCCGAGUCACUUGCCACACAGGACCAGGCUGGCCAGGCCUACUUCUUAACAGACGACGACCAAAAUUUCGUCCUUAAGAAAAGAGCCAUUGAGGCCACAGGCGAUGUAGACUUGAAGACAGAGGUAGCACAGGCCUCUUCAUCAAAGGAGGCCAACGCUGGCUCAGCCAGCAGCCCUAUCAACUAAGGAGUACUGGCUCGCUGAGCUCCCCCAAUCGCAACAUGAAGCGAUCCUCCCCCUUACAGGGUUCGAUCUCUAUGCUUAUUUGUGCAAGUCCCUGGAUCGACUCACUAGCACACACAGUUUCAAGAUGUAAUACCAAGAUAAAAAGGUCAAAAGUACUUUAUUACAUCGUAUCAUCCAGAAUUAAUUGUACUUACAAAUUUGCAUGACCCCUUGGGUCAGCAUAACAAAUAGAGUUUCAAGAUAACAAGAAUAUUUUUUCAAAAACUUGCAGCGGAAAGGUAGAGCAAAUGGGCCUCAACUACUCUUAGAGGAGAGAGCAUGUUGGAAUGUAAGCACAUGACCCAAAGAACAUCGACGAACCUCACUCUUUGUCAGAUUCACCUCCAUUAUUGAUUGCAGCCACUACGUGGUCAAUACAUUGAAUGUAUUGGCAAGUUCACCUGGAAGUUAUAACAGAUCCUACCAAGUAUAUGCAAUUAAGGUAUAGUGGGUUCAGGCUUUAUGGCGUGGUAGCAACAACAUAGUUUAUCCUACUAAAAUUGAAUGUUACAUUAUUAUUAACUAAUGGACACGGGGUAGAAACACCCAUGCUCCUAUUAACCUAGAGCACAUUGAGUAGAUACAUCAAGUGCCCCUAUCCUGUUCAAACCAUUCAUUUUAUUUAAGAAAUUAGAAUGAGUGAGACCUUCCUUAUAGCCCCCAUACCUAGUUGCUAAUAAUUGUCUGUAACCGGGGACACGGCUAAGUACUUAGUUUGACACUCUCGAGAGGUUGUACACAUUCCCCACAAGAAAUUGACGUGUUAAUCCCUUGCUGUCCUCAGGGUAGAGUAGCAACGGUAUCGACUACACGAAUUUUCAGAACAUAAUCCCCCAGACCACCUGAGGGACGUGCCCCCACCUACACUGCUACAUACCGAUGUCACCUCGGAUCCGGGUUCAUAUUUCUUACAUCCAUCCUGGCAAAGCCAUAAUACCAUGUGGUUGUACUGGAAGCUACUAAACAGGAAACUAGUCCAGUCUCUGGUUACCCCGGUGACAUUCCUCAGUUGCAACGCAGGCGCUCCCAUAGAAAUGGCGAGACGACUCAUAGAAAUGGACCUAACGUCGCAUACAUCUCCAAUUUCUCAAAGCAGCCCACCCAGGACGGUUCAUUAAAGUUGUUUUUGCCAGGUUUCCAAAAUACUAUAUAGUAACAGUUUCAAGGUAAUUUAUGUUCCCUCCCACGUAUACUAACAUAGCAUAGCAUUCAAGUACUUACGAUGGCAAUUGGUGGAGGGGUAAUGGCAAAGGUAAUCCUAUCACUAGUAGGUCAAGUCAUAGCUAGCAUAGAUACGAAUAAUAUCCCUAUCAAUGCAAACUACACAACAGUAGUGCAUAAAUAUCUAAAAUAAGGAAUGUAAUGGGAAAUUAUGAUCAAAGUGAAACUUGCCUUGAUAGCAGUUGGUAUUCAAACACUCUUCGCAAUCACACAGAUCGCUCUCCGAGAAAACUAAUCAAACACAAACAAUGCAUACAUAAACACACAAUACAAACAAAAAAAUUGGUAUCAAGCCAAUUAAAACACAAGCAUUGGUAAUGCCAUGAUGUAAUGCAAAACAUGUGACAUGAUUUGGUUUAUUUUAUUUGGAUGAUCAACUGAUCCUAAGCAUUGAUAAUUAAAACACAAGCAUUAGGGUUUUAAACAAAAGGCAAAAACAAUUGAUUAAAACCCUAAAUUAUAGUUUUAUUGGCAUCAGCUAAAUAAUUUAAUUCAAAUUUUUUAUUUCUCUCUCCCAAUGGACAGAGGAUAAUAAAACAAAUUUUUGGGCACUGUUUUCAAUUAAAAAGGAUUUAUAAAUAAUUAGUUAUGAAUUAAAUGGCAUUAAACCCUAUUCUGCAAAUUGACUGUGGUUCAAAUAUUCAAAUUUAAAUUUAAACAGUGCCAAAAGAUUCUACAAGGUUUAAAAGUUAUGAUCAUUUGAACUUACAGGGGCUUUUCUGCAAAAGUGCCAUUUAAUUAAACCGGGAGAUUAAAAUUACAUUUUUAUUUUUCUAUUAAGGUGCCACGUGUCGCUAUCUCAUUGGAUGAUACCGGUUCGUUUUAUAAGUAAUAACCCGAUCUAAUCUGAGCCGUUGAUCAAGGAUGGAUGGUCAAGAUCUCACCUCUUUCGUCUCCGGCGAGCUCUAGGGUUCCGGCGACGGCGCGGGCUCGGGCGGCGGCGGCGCGGGGUGUUCCAAUGAAGCAGGCGGCUCGGGGAUGGUUGGGGACAACGCAGCGCAGCACGGCGAAGGCGAUGGCGGUGGUGGCGCUCCUCGAGGACGUCGGCGCACUCGCCUAGUACGACAGAGGCGCUGCGGGCGGCGGCGAAGCUCCGGCUUGACGACGGUGAUGUGCUGCGGUGCGCAAAAAAGAAAGCGGACCGCCGCGUCACGACGUGCGCAAGAGAGAGGCGAACAAGAGAGGGCAAGCGGCUUCGAGGUAGAAUAGCUCACCGAGCUCGUUGGCGGUGACCCAAAAACGCGGCGGCGUCCGUGCGGCUCCAGCGAGGAAUUGGGCGGCGUGGGCGCGAGGAUUCGGGCGAGCAAGAGAGGGAAUAGGAUGCGGGGCGCGCUGGCUUUAUAGAGACGUGGGCGGCUUUCUUCGGGAAGGUCAGAAACAGCGGGGCGGCGAUGGCGCGUCACGGCGCUUUCCUAACGAGGACGAAGCCUGACAGGUGGGCCCCACCUGUCAGUGGCCGCGGGCACGCGCGAGCAGACCGGGCUGGCUCGGUUCGGCUCGGCCGCGGUCGGGACGGGGCCGGUUCGGCCCAUUUGGCCGGGCCGGUCCGGUUUCUUCCUUUUUUUUUUCUUUUUAGCCUUUUCUUUUUCUCUUUUUCUCAUUGCUUUGAUAUCUCUUGAUUUUAAACUCCAAAUUGAUCCAAAUAAAUUCCAGAAAAUUUGUAAAAUCAUGUUUUAUCAUGAUUCAACUUCUGGGAGUAAUUUCCCCUCAAAAUAAAAUAUCUAAAAAUACAUUUGCCCUAUAAAUGCCUUUAGGGCUAUAUAACUAUUUAAAUAAAAUAGUUUUUCAACUCCAAAAAAUUAUCCAAAAAUUAUGGGAUAGCUUAUUUAUGCAAUAAACCCCUUUUAUAAAUAAACCUUAUUGGUUUGAAGAUCCAAAGCUCAAAUGGGUGUAAACCCUAGGUUUAAAAUUGAAAUAAAACAUUUUCAAAGCCUUUUGAGAUUCAAAUUUGAAUUCAAAUAUGCAAUUGUGGCAUGAUGCUUAUGGAUGCAAUGCACAUGUAAAAGUUUGAAAUUUUUGGGAUGUUACACAACAACGGGAGCCCCCUCUAGCAGUCGCACUAAAAUAACGAGCACACCAAGCCGGCUUGGUAGCCCAUGUAGUGUAACUCAGAAGACGCCUGCCGAAGAGUGAGUCUGUUCAAACACAUACCUGCGAGCUCAUCCACGCCUCGACAUGGCUGCUCAGCGAACUCGACUGCGAGAUAUGAGAAUCAAUAAAACCUCCCCCUCAGACUCCAAUCUAGAGCCGGGGACUCAAGAAGCAAGGCGUGGAACGCCACGCAAUCGCGCUGCCAAUGUGCCAGGCUUUUUUGUUUCAUUUCGUUUUACUUUCUCAUCUAUUUUCCCUUCUUUUUCUCUGCAUUUUUAAGUACCUUCUUGUACCAUCGGUAAGUAUUUAUGUUCUUCUACAUACCUUGUUGCGGUCGCAUCAAACUCAGAACUGAGAGAUCGACCCCAAACUUGUCAUUGGACGCACCCGACACUCAAGGGUUGCGUCCAAUCAACCCUAAACCUUUCAUUGGACGCAACCCGACACUCGGGGGCCGCGUCAAAUCGACCCCAAACUUGUCAUGGGACGCACCCGACACUCGGGGGCCGCGUCCAAUCGAUCCUAAACUUGUCAUCGGACGCACCCGACACUCGAGAGCUGCGUCCAAUCGACCCUAAACUUGUCAUUGGACGCACCCGACACUCGGGGGCUGCGUCCAAUCGACCCUAAACUUGUCAUUGGACGCACCCAAUGCUUGAGGGCUGCGUCCACUCGACUCUAAGCCUCUCGUCGUACGCACCCGACAUUCACGGGUUAUUGUGCAACAAACAUCAGCAAAAUCAUUCAACUGUCGGCAGUCUCCAAGUACGCCAAAUUGGGAUCACGAUGUUUUCUCAUACAAGAUCAAAGAAGUUACAGAACAAGAAGGUGUGACCUCUUUCAAAGAUGCUAGCAGCUUUCAGUUACAAAAGAUUUUAAAGUAUUUGGGUCUCCACAUGACUGCAAACCAGUCAUGCAUAGACCCGGGCGCUACUCCCAUCGGGAGCGCUAGUCGCGCACCCGGUAAAAAUACGACUCAGGCAACUACGCCUACAUCCUUAACGGAUAUCAAAGUCUACUAUACUCCAAAGCCAUAAGAGUCACUAGCUGACGUGUCGUGUUCUCCACCAUGUCGUAAACCGGUCCAAGCUGAGCAUCGUCUAUAACAUAGGAUGGAGUCAAAUGCAGUGAGUCCAGAUUUAACGAGGGGUAGCGAAGACGAACAAAUGAGAGGGCUAGAACAGCCCCCUCCACCAAUUGUUCAUGAGUAGCCCCCCUCACCACUGCUCCUUCGCAAAAUCUCUCGAUCAAUCCCUUCAGGUCAACAGGAACAGGAAGCUCCGAAAACAAGUUAUGGUGCACCUCAGUCAAGCAGUGGCUGCAGGACUUCAGGCAGACCACAGCUCUUGCAACUCGAUCUUACAGCAGUGCAAGGGUAUAACCCUUGUUGCAGUUCGACCAAAAGGAUGGGGUCACUGAACCAGAUCGUGCUAAAGCAUCAAGAUGACUUUUUACGCGUUCAGCUUCAACAUACGGUUCUGGCAUUAUAUCUGCAUAAGAUGACGCGUCCGAAUCAGUUGAAAUUCAGUCGACCCAACAAUUUCAAGCAGAGAAAUCAGCCGUUACCUCGCAAAUCAGAGCUCAGCUUCACGAUUUCUCCAAGAAGGAAAUCUUCCCAGCCUGACGCAGCCCGAUUCUCUGACUUGAGCAAGGAGAUCUCCUCCCGUGCUUGCGCAAGUUGGUAUUCAACAUGUCCCAGACGGAUACGCAAAACAUCGAGUGCGUCGGAGGAGUCCAUCUCUUCCCGCGAGACCUAAGUGCUAAUCAGCAGGACAAAUCCCUCGUGCUGGUUAGUACGCUCGAGUCCACACUCGUUUAUUUAUAUCCAACUACGAGGCACUCCCACCGAGAGUACUUGAAAUCCGACUUAAACUCGACUUCCACAAGUCGGAAUACGACUCGGUACUGAUUUGCAAGUCAUAUUGUUCCCUUUCCAAAAAAAAAGAAGGGGAGCAACUUCGCCAAGAAAUUCAAGGAUAUGAAAUUACAACCUUGAGUCCGGUCGCCACUACACACAGUCGCAACCGAACUCGGGGGCUACUUCCACCGGGAGCGCUAACCGCGCACCUGGUAUGGUCUCCUCCUCGGCUGCUUCCCUGCCGGAUCAUCUGCAGCGCCGCCGCCUGCCGAGCCUCCAGGAAUGACUUUAUACCCUGGGUGAGAGUAGCUGGCAGCGUAGCAACUCGUCAGAAAUCCAACUCUGCGCAAUUGACUCACACAAAUGCGAGGGCAAUCUGGGCACCCUUCACCAGUUGGAGUCUAACCAAUUCCUUCAUCUUCUCCUUGCCGUGAAACCUCACCAUUAGGCUGCCCAGUUUAGGAGGCACCUUCUCCCGUGGCCAUAAGGCCCGAUGAGUCCAAGCUAGCAAGUCACAGCAGGCAGUGAAGUACCUUUUGACCUGUUUGAUCCGCUCGAUCAACAGCAUCAAGUCGUAGCUCCUCGACUGAUCCAGCCAAAAGGAUGAUGGGUCAUGAGCUUGACGAGCUUGAAUUGCAGCAUUCACUAUGGCCUUUUCAUCAUCAGGGUCAAAGCGAACAACUGCACAGAAGACGACAAGAUUACUUUGCAAAGCGACACAAAAGGCAAAGUCUUGUGAUCCUAUACCUUGGAUUUGACCGCUCAGGUUACGAAGCUCUCCAAAGACCAACUCUUCCCGGUUGGUCGCACCUUUCAGGCUGGACUUGCUACUUUGAGCGUCACCCAACGUGUCAUGCUUCAACUUAGCGAGCCGAGCCUCAACUUCUUGUAACUGCUCUGGGGACAGAGCAGUCUUAGCCUGACCCUUUCCGCUAGGGUUGGCUGGAGCAUCGUUGCGAGAGGCUGCCUCUGUAGCUGGAACUGAAUGACUUGAUUGUCCUUUUCCCUCUGUGCGAAAAAAGACUCAAGUUACCUCAGCAUUUAUCCUAAAAAAAACUCCUUCAGGGGUGGAAAUAAAGAUCUUGGAUUUCUUUCCAAAAAAGGCUCAGCUAGAGCAGUUCUUUACAAAGCUAAAGAACAAAAGAAGAAGAUUCACAAAGGAGAAAGAGAAUCAAAUAUAUCUAGUGAAAGAUCACCCACCUCUGGGCCGCCAGAUGAAGCUAGGUUUAUCUCAUCGAUUGAUCUACGAGGUUGCCGCAACGAGACCUCAGCCAGCUCUUUUCCUUUUCCCAUAAAGGGACCUAGGCUGACCGUGUUGCCUGCUCUAGAGGCUACUCGACGGAGAAUGUCUUCCUCAACGCCAUACGCAAGAGCAAGCGUGACGAAUAAUUCAGCGUCGGUCGUCGACCGAUGCUCCUCUACUGGGUCUUGACUUGCAGCAAAGAAGUCUGAAAGGGAAACCUUGCCCCUAUAUGGGUUUUGAUGAAUGAUGAAAACAUGGUUGAGAAACUAAUGAGUUACACGGAGUGUUUCAGGUUUUAGUCCCUCAGAAGAAUUGAUUUAACCAGCAUCGACGACCCCGAAAAAUUGAAGUACAGGUACUGGCUUGAAGUAUGAAGAACUCAAUGAAGAACAGUGAAGAAUGUGAAGCGUAGCUUUCUUCAUAGGUCUUUCCGUAGCUUUUCUUCGCUUGAGUAUGAAUGUCGUACUAUUAAGAAGGGUUUGAAGUGUGGAGCUGCUUCAGGUGAAACCUAUUCUUCAUGUUCAGCUUAGGCGAAAACCAUUUUCUGUGUGAGUGUUUCUCGUCGGAGUGAAGAAUGAAGCAUUUCAGGCUUCACAAAAACUUCCGUGUGAAGUCUUCACUCUGAUUUCAAAUGUGUUUGAAAAUCUUUGUCGCUUUACGUUUUGACCACGUAAUCCAACCGUUGUGAGACAAAGAGAUAAAGUGUGAGCUGGAGUCUCAGGGAUCACUUUAUCCAACGGGUCAGAACGGCUAGAUUGGUCGUGGCCAAGGCUAUAUAAGACGAGCCACCACGAACGGGUUCGGUGGUGAUCCCCGUGAGAUGUUUUGAAGAACAUCUGAUUAAAGUCUUAGAGCUGAACUCAGCGUGAAGAAUGGGAUCCCCUCUCUAGCCGAACACUUGAAGCUUGUUAUUCUUGGUGAUUGGCAUCACCUAGAUGGCUAGGAGUCAGUGUUGAAGAGCAACUGAAGCUUGUGAUUCGCCAUCAAUCAGUUUAUGAAGGUCCAGAGAUCCCUCAAGAUCUACCAUGAGUAACUGAGCGAGACUUUGGUCUUAGCUCGGGAGGAUUGGCUGGACUUGUGUGUCCACAAGUCUUGUGUGGCUCAGCCCCCUCAACGGAAACGUAGAAUUGUGCCAACAAUAUGAACUUCGGAAAACAAAUCCCCGUGUCUUUGUGUCCUGGUGAUAUCUGAUAUGCAUCAUAUUUGCACUAUUUUCUGACCAUAAUUAUAUCUGAAAUCUUGUGUUUUGAACUCUAAAUUAUUCUAAAAUGCCAAGAAUUUAUACAAAUACUUGUAAUAUGUGGCAAAAAUUACAUUGUCGCUUCUCUUUUGGAGUGAAGUGUGAAAAGGCACAUACUCUUCUCAUUUUGGACGAGCUGCUGAUGCACCUAUACACCGAAGGACCUGAGCAUAAGGAAAGAAGAAUGAAAGGGCUGAAGUGAAAAAAAAAGACCAACUUGCGAAAGAAGAAGAAAGGAGAAGGGCCUGGAUGUAAAAAUGUCAAAGGGAUUAAAUCCCUAAUUCCUGCUCUCGAUCCCCUUGAGCCUGGCACUUCCCCUUUCCCCUAUCUCCUGCGGCACCACCGGCCGCCGCCGCAGCCAGGCCAGCGUGGCGGCACGCCACCGAGCUAGCUGCAGCCCCUUCCCGAGAUCCACUACUACUCCUCCUCCAUACCGCCUCUGCCGGCAGCGGGCUGCACGAAUCAUCUCCAUCAACACCUGCUGCUCCCCCACGCACCGAAGAAAUCAAGAACCAAGGAACGCGAGCACGACGACCACCUGCAACAUCCUCCCCUUCUCCAAGUGCUGCUGCCCUCUCCUUUGGUUAAAUCCCCACCGAACUCUCUCUCUCUCUCUCCUACUUGUUGCUUGCUGUUUGUGUGUACAAGAACUGAGAAAGAACAUGCUGUUGAUCUUUGGAAAGUUAGCUGAGCCUUGCACUGUGUUAAACUCUCUCUUUAGCUUCUGGCCGAUGUGUGCACUUAAUUAUUGUUCUAUGUUAUAAUCUACUCUGAUAUUUGUGAAUGUGGCUGUGUGUAUACUUGUUGAUGUGUUUCGUGCAAUUUUCUAUCCCUAUCUAAAAACUUGCUUCUUCCCAGUCUUAUAUGUUUGCUGGUGAAAUUACUUUCUGUCAAUAUUGUUCUUUGUCUUUGCUUCUGCCCCUGUCUUUGAUGUAUGCUUGUCUUAGUGUUUUAGAUUCUAAAGUAAAUUGAAAAUACCAAAAAAAUAUUGCAGUCAUUCUGUACCUUGAAUCUCAUAAUUGUUUCUAUCCUUAUCUUGGAUAAUUGCUUGUGAUGUUUCGUGGUAGAUGAUCUUGUCUUGCUUUAUAGUGGGAAAUCUUCUCUUUGUUUGUUUUAAAUGCCAAAAUCCUUUCUUGUGAUCUAGCUUUAACCGAACAUUGUUGUCGCUGCCUAGUGCCUGUGGAGAAUCUCAACAAAAACUACUAUAUUUGCAUUGAUCAAAUUGGCGCCGUUGCCGGGGACUAGCAGCGAGCGAUUGUGUUAGGUUAUAGACUAGGUGUUUUUCCCCUUGUUUAGUAACCCCUAUUCUAGGUGUUUCUCUGUUUUCUAUUUGUUUCUUGUCAUAUUUAACAGGUUAUAUUAUCAUCUUGGUCAUGUCAUACUAUUCAGAUUAUUAUGGAUAUGCGAGCAGUAGCGGCAACAACAUAACAAGUCUUCAAGAUAAGAUAAAUGAGUUGUCUGGUCAGAAGCAAAUGUUAUCAAGUAAAAUAGAACAACACAAUUUGCAGCAAGGAAAUGGUCUUCAGGGAGGCCCUGCUAUUUUGAUCCUUAUUCUGUAGGCCAUCCCCAUACUUAUGUUGCUCCUGAAUGUCAUAUUUGUGGAUAUCAAGGUCAUAUUCCCGUCGAGUGUCAGCUGGGUAAAUCUUUCACCCCAAAUUGUUAUGAUAUGGGUUUUACUCCACAGCAUGAUCUGUACCACAACAAUUACCCCCUAGUGGGCUUGAUAACCCAAAUAUUACAUUUAGGAACAGCAGCCCUGAGGACUCAUCUUUUUCUUCUAGCUAUCCUAUGCAGGGAUUUAGGAAUGAAGAGGCGAAGUCACAAGCUCAGUUAAAUUUUGAAGCAGAACAACAAGCUUGGUUUGAAGAUUUUAUGAAGACGCAGCAAGAGAAGAUGGUUCAUCCACAAUCAGCUAUACUUUCAGAUGUAGAUCAAGAACAUGUGAUUUCAGAAAAUGAAGAAAAAGUUGCUCAGAUUUGGGAAGAAGAGAGAUCCGAGAUUAAAGAAGAUGAUGCACUAGAAGACAAGACACACAAUGAGCAAGAGCUGGACUAUGGAAGUAGCAAAGAUAUAGUGGCUGCCAAUCUUGAAGAUAUUGAAGAUAAAGAGGCUAAUGGAGUGGAAAAUGAAGAUAAUGAGGAGAUUCAAGUCGACAUGUCAAUUAUCAUUCAGGAGUGUGAUGAAACAGGUUUAUCAAACCCAAUUAAUGACAUUCUUCCUUAUGAAUUCCCUGCUACUACCUUGCAUUGCUUGAUACCAUCACUUAAGGUAGAACUGAAUUGUGACUUUCUUAAAUUUGAUGAUGCAUACUUUGUUAGUGACAAUACUGAAAUUCAUGAUGAUGACUCAUGUUAAUCACAUGCUAAAAUUCUGCUUAUGGAUGCAUGCUCUAAGAUUACUCGCGUCUCACAUGUGAAUAUUUAUCAUUCUCACCUUGUGCUUUAUUGCUACGCUUACAUCAUUGGUUUUUCAAUUGAUGACUUAGAGGGUGUUGGUCCUUUGACCUCUCCUAGGUGCUAUUCAUAUGAUAUAACUGAGUUUAAUGUGAUAUAUCAUCAUCGCCAUGUUUUUUAUCGAUAUGUGUAUACCAUUGGAUACUCCAUUGAUAAUUUGGAGGGGGUUGACCCUGUCUCUUUUAGUUCUUGUUGUGAGUGUAUUUCAGGCAUAUCAUAGGUGCUUUGUCAGCUUGGAAAAGUCCAGAUUCGAGUUGACAUUCCUUGGGACCCUGGUGGAUAUGAGGUUUUGAGAUGGUGUAGCAAAGAGAGUUGUAUCACACUUGAAAUAAAAUGCUGAAGCAGAUGGGAUCGAGGGAAUCAAGAAGAGUUGUCGAAUUCAGAAGAUGAGUGGCUUGGUCUGAAGGGAAGGUGUAGUCUGAUAAAAAUAUAGUUCAAAUCAUCUAAAACACCAGGUGACUUGUUUCCAGUAUAUGAGAUCAUGUUUCUUCCAUUGCCUGCAACUUUUCUCAAACUGAUCACUGCUAUUCGUUAUUGGUCACAUCAUUGCUUUCUUGUUGAAGCUGUUCUUCUUUGAGAAUCACAUAACAUUGCUUUAACUUGUUGUUUUCUUACCGAAAAAAAAAGCUGCAUUAAUUUUUUUUGUGAUUGCUAUACUCCAGGAUCUUCAUAAUGAAAAGAUACAUCAACUUUCAGUUUAAACACAACAGCUAUUGGUGCAUGUUCUUAUUGCAGUAAUCUAAAGUAUACUUCAGAUUUGUUUUAUUUUCUGCUCUCAUUCCUAAUAAAUUAAGAUUCUGACAAAUCUGAAUGUCUCCUUAUGCUAGUUAGUCCUGUAUCGACUCAAUUGAUUAGUUGCUAAGUAGUAGCUAUGAUCCCGGGAUCUGUAGCUUGUGAAAACAGUGCUAUUGAUCAUAGGUUUCUUUACAAAAUCUUUUAUCCUGUUGCAAUUUGAGCUUUCAAUAAGUGGCUUGUCCACAAGUCUUUAAAUCUCUGAAUAAGUGGCUCAGCCACAGUGUUAUCCUUGCAAAUAAGUGACUAUGUCACAAUUUGUUUCAAUAAGUGGCAGUCCACAUUGCCUUGCUCUGUUUGAAUAAGUGACUCUGUCACAUCUUUAGUUUGGAAUAAGUGGUGCAAGCACCACAAUUUAUUGCAUUUCUUGUUUCGUUUUUAUUUUUGAAAAACCAUGAACCGUGACUCGUUACUGGACUGCUGUCAUAGUUUGAAUUCAGUUUGCAAAAUCUUCUUUAUUAGUUAGGGGAGCCUAAAAUAGUUUAAAUCUUCAGUAUACUUUGAGUACAAUAAUCAGAACAUACAGCUUUACCUGUUAAGUUUAAACUGAAGUUUCUUGGGUCCUUUUUAUUGUGACGGAAAUCCUAGUUGGAGUGAUUACAUACCUCGUUUCAUGCUGUUGUCUCAUUUGCGAUCUGUUUCCUCAUUUGCAUAUCUCUUUGCUUGAGGACAAGCAAAAGUUUAAGUGUGGGGGUGUGAUAAGCAUCAUAUUUGCACUAUUUUCUGGCCAUAAUUAUAUCUGAAAUCUUGUGUUUUGAACUCUGAAUUAUUCUAAAAUGCCAAGAAUUUAUACAAAUACUUGUAAUAUGUGGCAAAAAUUACAUUGUAGCUUUUCUUUUGCAGUUAAGUGCGAAAAGGCACAUACUCUUCUCAUUUUGGACGAGCUGCUGAUGCACCUAUACACCGAAGGACUUGAGCAUAAGGAAAGAGGAAAGAAAGGGCUGAAGUGAAGAAAAAAAAGACCAACUUGCAAAAGAAGAAGAAAGGAGAAGGGCCUGGAUGUAAAAAUGUCAAAGGGAUUAAACCCUAACUCCUGCUCUCGAUCCCCUUGAGCCUGGCACUUCCCCUUUCCCCUAUCUCCUGCUGCACCACCGGCCGCCGCCGCAGCCAGGCUAGCGUGGCGGUGCACCACCGAGCUAGCUGCAGCCCCUUCCCGAUAUCCACUACUGCUCAUCCUCCAUACCGCCUCUGCCAACAGCGGGCUGCACGAAUCCUCUCCAUCAACACCUGUUGCUCCCCACUCACCGAAGAAAUCAACAGCCAAGGAACGCGAGCACGACGACCACCUGCAACAUCCUCCCCUUCUCCAAGUGCUGCUGCCCUCUCCUUUGGUUAAAUCCCCACCGAACUCUCUCUCUCUCUCUCUCUCUCUCCUACUUGUUGCUUGCUGUUUGUGUGUAUAAGAACUAAGAAAAAACAUGCUGUUGAUCUUUGGAAAGUUAGUUGAGCCUUGCAUUGUGUUAAACUCUCUCUUUAGCUUCUGGCCGAUGUGUGCACUUAAUUAUUGUUCUAUGUUAUAAGACUCGUAACCUGUUUGUUCAUAUGUCAGGGAAGAUCUUUGAGUUGUUCUACUCUAAUAUUUGUGAAUGUGGCUGUGUGUAUACUUGUUGAUGUGUUUCGUGCAAUUUUCUAUCCCUAUCUAAAAACUUGCUUCUUCCCAGUCUUAUAUGUUUGCUAGUGAAAUUACUUUCUGUCAAUAUUGUUCUUUGUCUUUGCUUCUGCCCCUGUCUUUGAUGUAUGCUUGUCUUAGUGUUUUAGAUUCUAAAGUAAAUUGAAAAUACCAAAAAAAAAUAUUGGUGUCAUUCUGUACCUUGAAUCCCAUAAUUGUUUCUAUCCCUAUCUUGGAUCAUUGCUUGUGAUGUUUCGUGGUAGAUGAUCUUGUCUUGCUUUUGAGUGGGAAACCUUCUCUUUGUUUGUUUUAAAUUUCAAAAUCCUUUCUUGUGAUCUAGCUUUAACCGAACAUUGUUGUCGCUGCCUAGUCCCUGUGGAGAACAUCGACAAAAACUACUAUAUUUGCAUUGAUCAAUAUUGU
Molecule: long non-coding RNA, 44762 nt
Filed under: Brachypodium distachyon (stiff brome)
Lineage: Eukaryota; Viridiplantae; Streptophyta; Magnoliopsida; Poales; Poaceae
Description: long non-coding RNA (BDIS_LNC002131)
Source: RNAcentral